AGACACCUCCUGAACUCAUGAGACUUUGGACAAGCAACGAUUCUGAUGCAAGACAUUUUCGGAAUAAUAUAAGAUUUUUCAAUGGACACUUCUCAUUUACAUCUCUUUAUUGCCACCUAGACAGUGAGACCACUGACACGAAAAAAGCUGGUAUUUACACCUUUCGAGCUCAUGGCCAGAUGUAUCACAAUAUACAAUCAUUUGGAAAUAGUCGCUAUGAUCCAAAGCAUCUAGAGUUGUACUUCUACGAUGAUGAUCCAAGCCUAGAGCAUCGGUAUCGACGUUGCCGUGAAGAAAAGUACGAGCAAGACAAACAUGUAGUCACAAUUUUAACACAAAUUCUACGUGAAAACCCAUACUCUAAACAGUUUAGAAGUUUGGGACAGAAUGAAAAACUUGAUGACUACAGGCUGAUCUUGAACCUUGACCAAAGAUUAGACCAAAGAACAUACAAUGCACCAAUAACUUUAGAGGUAGCUGUAGUGUGGAUCAAGGGAAAUGAAAGAAGAAAUACCUUUGACAAGAAUGUAAUACUACAUGGAAACAACAACGAAAUACAAGGCAUCAAAUCAUACUAUGGCUGCUAUGAUCCAUUGUCUUAUCCUCUAUUCUUUCCAAGAGCUGAACUCGGUUGGCAUUCAAAUAUCCCAAGGGCCAAUACAAUAUUGGAAGAAUUGAGAAAUGAUAAUGUUGAUCGCAACAAUAGUGACAAUGACCCAGGUUAGAAUUUCAUAUACUUUUGUCUUCUAAAUUUAGUUUACUAAUAUGAAAAAACUAUAUAAAUAUUCCUCUAACUUUAGCGUUCCAAUUCUUACACAGAUUCAAGCAGUAAACUGUGGGUAACCAUGAGAGAAUAUUACUGCUAUAAAUUCCAUGCAAGACCAAGCAUAUUCAACCCAAUAUUGCAUGGUGGUAGACUUUUUCAGCAGUUUGCCGUUGAUACAUACAUCAAGAUUGAGAGCUCCAGAUUGGACUUCAUAUGGCAUUAUCAGAAAGAAAUAAGGGCAGAUCUAUACAAAGGCCUCCUGGAUAGCAUUCAAGAAGGAGAACAAAAGGGGGAUAAAGUAGGAAAAUGAACGGUGCUAGCAUCAUCAUUUAUUGGAGGGCCAAGAGAUAAAUUGUGACGAUAUCUAGAUGCUAUGGCUUUAGUACGCAAAUAUGGAAAGCCAGACAUAUUCCUAACAAUGACAUGCAACCCAAACUGGGAAGAGAUCACCCGAGAACUAGAGUUUUCACAAACACCUCAAGAUCGCCUAGAUCUCGUGGUUAGGGUUUUCAGGGCAAAACUAGAAGAAAUGAAGAAUCAAUUGUUUAAAAAGCACAUUCUUGGAAAGGUAAAGGCAUAUACCUAUGUUGUAGAGUUCCAAAAGAGAGGCCUACCUCAUGCACACUUCUUGCUGAUAAUGACCGGAAAAUACAAGUAUACAUGUCCAGAGCAAUAUGACAGAAUAAUCUAUGCCGAGCCGCCAGACAAGCACGAGUAUCCAGAUCUAUAUAAAAUGGUCAUCAAACAUAAGAUGCAUGGUCCUUGCGGCAUAUUAAAUAGAAAUUGCCCUUGCACAAAGAAUUGAGCAUCUUGCAAAAACAAUUAUCCAAGACCAUUUAAUGAAACUACAAUUCAAGGCAAGGACUCCUACCCAUUGUAUAGAAGAUGAAAUGACGGUCGCACCGAAACAGUCCAGAACUGUAAACUAGAUAAUAGAUGGGUUGUUCCUUACAACCCAUACCUAUUGCGCUUUUUCAACUGCCACAUGAAUGUUGAGGUAUGCUCAAGCAUUAAAGCCGUCAAGUAUCUGUUCAAAUACAUCUACAAGGGACAUGACCGGGCCUCUGUAUCUGUAACUGGAGCAGAUGCUGAAGGAGAAAUUGAUGAAAUUAGACAGUACAGAAACGCACGGUGGGUUACACCUCCAGAAUUAAGCAUGCAAGUGCUGAGAGCCGAUAUAUAUCUUUGACUCUAUUGGAAGUGUUUGAAGUGAGCAAUACAUCAUUUUAUAGAAAUCCAAUCCAUCCGAUCACAUUAAAAUUCAUGAGACAAGUCUCUCUGUCCCCGUUAAGUCAUAUAUGAAGGGUCAAAACAAACAGGUAUAAAAAACAUUGACUAGUACAUAAACCGUAUGUAUAAUUGGUGGUAGGUUUGCCGGUAUGUAAAAGUAAUAUUGUUUAUGCGGAUCUAUCUAUUUAUCCUAUAGUAAUCACAGAUGCUAUAGAAAAUCCCACGUUAACGAGAAAGAGAAAAUAUCUAGCCAUUGAUCCAUCGUGGCCCCCUUUUUUUAGCCGUUCAGAUUUAAAAAAGUACAAUUACUUAUUAGUUACUUGCAUUUGGUUAACUUUGCUAGGUUGUUCUAAGGAUAAUAGGUGCAAAUGGACGGUGGGGCCACUGGUGGACGUGCGUUCCUUGCCAGGGCAUGCCUACAUGAGAACUAAGGAAGACCGGCUGUGUGGACGUGGAGGAUGUGAUAUUACACGAUGCUGGAACAUGGACCGUUGCCAUGUUAAUCCUCUUGUACAAAUUAAAAUUCAUUACAAUUUUUAGGAAAAAUAUGUAUGAAUGUAUGAUCCGUUAGAGGAAAAGUGAAUAGGACGGACCAAAAUGUUGGAUCCUUUGUUGGAAAAAUGGUUUGAAUUUUGGCAAUGUAAGUAUUUCCUUGAUUUUGAGAGAGAGCCAAAUAGGAUUACAUUAUUUGUUAAUGUUCGUCUCAUAUUGAUUUUCAACCUUAAAAAAUGAUGCACUAUUUCAACUACAAUCACAUUAAACGAAACAUAAAAUUCGAUCCAUCUUGGCCUCUCGAGCUAUGUGAGUAGGAGAACAGCAUAGCAAAGAUAAACGAUCUAAUUAAUCUUCCUAGGAAGAGCUUUGAACUCUUGGAAACAACAAAAUAAAAUCAUUCAAUUCGAUUGGCAAAGUGACAAUACAUCAUCGGCACAAUGAUCAGAAAUAGCGAUUCUUGGUGAGGUACAAAUGUAUGAUCCAUUGUCGGGAAAGUAAAUAGGACGGACUAAACUUUUUGUCACAUAUUGAUUUUCAGCCACUAAAAAAAGCAAUGAGGUAAGAUAGUCAUUUGUUUCUAAAUACACAGUACAACAUAGUUAUUGUUUCUAGUCCGUUGCGGUGCGGUGGGAUAAGAAUAAAUAAUCACAUGACAAGACAUGGCAUGGGAGGCUAUGACGCAUCAUCAUGACUAGGGAAAACCAAAAGCACCAAGGAUGAUGAACAGAUUCUUGCCGAUGUCCCAUCACAGAGCAAAUAAAGCAGGAUAAAGGGGAUUGAUCUCGAACUNNNNNNNNNNNNNNNNNNNNNNNNNNNNNNNNNNNNNNNNNNNNNNNNNNNNNNNNNNNNNNNNNNNNNNNNNNNNNNNNNNNNNNNNNNNNNNNNNNNNNNNNNNNNNNNNNNNNNNNNNNNNNNNNNNNNNNNNNNNNNNNNNNNNNNNNNNNNNNNNNNNNNNNNNNNNNNNNNNNNNNNNNNNNNNNNNNNNNNNNNNNNNNNNNNNNNNNNNNNNNNNNNNNNNNNNNNNNNNNNNNNNNNNUGACGUGGUGGCGGCUCCACUUCUUCUGGUUCUCGCCCCUCAGGGGGUGGACCCAGGACGUGGUCCUUGACCUCAUUCAGGAUCCCCCAUCAAUGCCUCGUUCCGGGGUAGACAGGGCAUGCGAAGGUGUUGUCAGCGCGGCGAAAGACGUGUAGAGCAUCGCCUCGGGGGAAGGGCGUGUGGUAGCCGCGACGCCGGUUGUCAGAUGAGUCCGUCAGUUUGGGAGUCAGAGUUGAACCCAUCAGCUAGAAGGGUCACAAUCAGGGUCAACAUCUGAUGCGGUGACGAGGGCGUGAGGGUGGAGGAAGCCGCCCCCACCGUCGGAGGAGCCAUGGAACGCACCGCGGAGCCCACAAUAGCUCCGCAGCGACCAUCCACGAGUGACAGCAGGUUGAGGUUGGCGGCGUUGGAGAGCGAUCCCGACAACGAGCGCAAUGGCCACCUGAGGUCGCUGGCGUCAGAGUGGGAUACCGACGAGGAAGUGCCGCCGUAGCGGGACGACCCCACCGCGUGGACGUAGCGCCAUAGCGCUGCCGUGAAGUUGCGGGCAGUGGCGUGGCAGUAGCACAGCGACAACCCGCCACAGGAGCGCGACGACGAUGAGGAGGACCUUUAGUCCUGAAUGAUUAGUUUCGGUUGAUUUUUCGAGAGAUAGGAGGCUUACCAAGCAGAACUAAUGCUCAUAUUUUCCAAACUAAUGCUCAUAUUUCCACUAGUGAGUGCAAGGUUCCCUCCACGCAUAAGACGAUUUAUCCACCGUGGUUCCUAACCACGAGUAGAAAUGCACACAUUUACUAGGGGCGGUUCCUUAAGAGAAGUGUAUUUUCUAGGGGCAGUUCCUUAAGAUAAGUACCGAUAGAAAUCUGGUAGUGUUCAGGUACAAUGCGCGAAAGCAACUGCUAGUGACUGUAGAUAACGAUAUCCAUCGAUAGAAAUAAAGGCUAGUAUCACAUCUAAAAACUAGCUUUGAUAUUCAGCUCAGAUCCGUGCCUCUAACUUUUCGUGCUCAUUAUAUAAAUCAUAAAUUUCCUAAAAAAUUAACAGAAUCAUACAUAAAAAUCCAGAAUGUUUAUCAAAAGGUAAGAUUCAAAUCAGUGGUAGAUGUUCAGGAUUAACAACUUUCUUACUCCACAUAUUUUUGUUAGGUGAGGAGGCAUUGCAAGUUUGCAACUGUUGAAUGAAAUCCGUACUGCGAUGGAACUAGGAGGUAGUUGGUUUGAAGUAUAUACCAUUUAGAUAUCCAAUAAUCCUUCCUUUUAUUUCAAUAAAAAUAUUGGUUCCACGAUCAUCUAGGAGUAUGGUCUUGUACUCUCUUCUUGUUCGAGCUUUAUGUGAAUCCAACCCUAUGGAGCCACACCCCCAUCAAUGCCACGUGUCCCAAAUUGCUAAUCUCAACCAUCCCUUUCAUUUCUCACCCACUAACUAUACGGGAGUAAUGAGAAGUUAAAGGGACGAUUGAGAUAAGACAUGUGGCAUCCAUCAAGAUAGGGAUCCUACAUGGAACUGAAUUCAAUGCUUGAUAUCGAACCUGUCCUGAAGAUGAAAAGUUUCUCUAUAAAUUUAGACGUCCUAAACUUCAAUUCUUGUGCACACAGAAUAUACUCGCAGUCGUAGGCUCGUAGCUUAUAGACAAAUGACAUUGCAAGCAAUGGCGUUGCCCUACUUGCAAGAACUAGUCAUCUCCACACUUCUCGUUGUAUCAUUGUGCAUGUACAUUAAGUUCUGGAGGCUGAGAAACCCGUUGUACCCCAUGGACUGGCCGGUUGUGGGCAUGCUCCCUUCCAUCGUUGCCAAUCUCCACAACUUCCACGACGUACUCACUGUCUUCCUUGCCACCAACGGGUGUAACUUCAAGGCGCGAGGGCCGGUAGCAAGUGGCAUGCGGUUCUUCGUCACCGCUGAACCGGCAAACGUCCGGCACAUCUUCACCUCCAACCAUGCAAACUACCCCAAGGGCGAGGAUUUUGCUGAAAUCUUCGACAUCUUUAGCGGCACCCUCUUCACCAUUGAUGGUGAGGCCGGCCGCCAGCAGAGAGCCAUGUUCCAGAACAUCUUCAGCAAUCCACGGUUACUUGCCUUGAUGGCAAGUUGCUGCCGUGACAAGGUGGUGAACGAACUCCUCCCGUUCUUGACCCGCAUGGGGAGCACCAGGACAACGUUCGACAUGCAGGAUUUGAUCACAAGGUUGGUGUUCGACCUUACUGCCACGCCGAUCUUCGGUGUCGACCCGGGUUGCCUGUCCAUCAGCAUGCCGUCUAUCCAUGUUGCAACCGCCAUGGACACGUUCAUGGAGGUCGGCUUAUUCCGGCACACCAUGCCGGCUUGUUUCUGGAAGGUGAUGAGACGGCUAAACAUCGGUCCAGAGAGGAAGCUGGCCAUGGCGCAAACAGUGAUGCAUGCUUUCAUCAGGGAGAUGACUGAGAAGCCGAAAGCCAGGUGCGCCGAUCUCCUUGAUGAUGUGUUGGCCAUGGACAUUAUUUCUGCUAACCCAUCAGUGGGCAGAGACGAUGUCCUACAACGUAAUGUACUCAUCGGUUACAUGAUCGCCGGGCGGGACACGGUUGGUACCACGCUACCGUGGGUAUUCUACAACCUCGCCAGGAACCCCCGUGUGGUCUCUUGCAUCCGCAAGGAACUGGCACCCAUCGCAUCACUCAAGACCACUGCUCUCGCCUCCAAUAGCAUCAGCAGUAUGGUCGUCUUUGAUCCAAAGGAGACUGAACACCUAGUUUACCUUCAGGCAGCCUUAUUGGAGUCGCUCAGGUUGUACCCACCAGGCCCGAUCGAGCGCAAGGUGGUGCUAGCCGACGAUGUGCUCCCAAGUGGUCACCAGUUGUGCUCCGGUGAAACCAUCCUGAUCUCCAUCUAUGCCAUGGGUAGAAUGGAAUCCCUGUGGGGCAAGGAUUGCCAUGUGUACCGUCCGGAGAGGUGGCUGUCCGAGGACGGUGCUAAACUGCGUUACGUUCCGUCCAAUAAAUUCAUGGCGUUUAACACAGGGCCGAGGAUGUGCCUUGGCAAGGACAUAGCAAUUGCGCAGAUGAAGACCAUCGUUGCCGCGGUGGUGUGGAACUUUGAUAUGGAGGUGUUGGAAGGGCAGAGCAUCGAGCCAAAGCUGUCGUGCAUUCUUCAAUUGAAGAACGGGCUCAUGAUGAUGGUUAAGCAGAGAGAGUAAUCAAUGUGACAUGGAAUGAGCUAGGUGCAAUGCAACUACAGAUCGACUCAGUCCUGGCAUAUAUGGUUUGAACAAAAUAGUUAAAUCCAAACUUAUAAUGAAGUAAAUGGAAGCGUAACAUGUAUUUUCGUCAUUAAAUAAAGUCUACGGACGCCGUCGUCUGGCCAUCUGAAAGCUGGGAUCAUACCCAACUACAGACUCUUUGAUUUCAGUACUGAUAGUUUGUACUACUCCCUCUUUCUAAAUAAGUGAUGUUUUCAGAUUAUCUUAAGCUUAUUUGAAACUUUGAUGGCAUAUUAAUUGUUUUUCUAUGUGUAAAAGGUAUACGAGUAUAUUUAUGUUUAAUAGUAACUUCAUCAAAAGCAUCCGUUCACUUUAUGAAUAUUUUGUGACAAAAACUAGCCAUCACAGUUAUGUUUUUGAGGUAAUUUCAAUAUCAAAAACUUCAUUUAUGAGACCGGAGGAACUAACAUACAAAGACAAUGAAUGUAAAUACAAUAUGCCCUCCGGUGUCCUGGACUUCAUAAGUUGUAUCUGCAAUACUCAAGAGUGAAACGAAAGAGGGCGAUGUCAAUUUGAGUGUAUCUAAAGAGACUUAAAACAUUCAAAUGAUGAAUAUAAAUUGUAUCAAAUCAUAGUCCCUAUUAUACUUAUAUAAUUAGUACAAUUUAUUUAAGUUGGAACAUACUUUUUUUUUACCGUGUCUUGAUCCAAGUGCGCAUGUGGGUUUUGCAUGUUUUUCCUUGGUAGGAGGCACCUGACUAAUGCGGUGUCUGGAACCUUGGUUACUCCUUUUUAUUGAUUUCCUUCCUUAAGCUACCUGAGCACCCUAGAAUAGUGAUGGGCUGCCAAGGUAUUGGAUCAAAUGAAUUCAGACACCUCUAUGUAUUUAAGGUAUUGGUGUGAGUAGCGUGUAACGACUGAUUCUGUGCUGAGUCGUACCAACCAUAUCGAGGCUUUGUGCACGCUAGCUCAUUCAGGGUGAAAGUCUGCCCCGUCCGUACAUGAUAAGCUCGAGAGUCGAGACAUUGAUUCGGCAGCUGCCGUACGUGUAUGUCUUUGUCCUUCCAUUUGCUGUACGUGUACGUGCUCGUUCCGUUGGUGCUGUGGACGGAGAGCGGCUACUUAGGCAUGGACUUCUGCCGAAUCCGCAUGAUGGACAACGUCAACCAGGCCCUCGACGCCGCCUUGCCCCCGCCUUGCCCCGCGAUGAUUAGGUAGAUCGGAGGAUGUUUUUCUCGUGUUUUACCGUUGCAUUUGGUAGAUCGGAGGAUGUUUUUCUCGUGUUUUACCGUUGCAUUUGGUAGAUCGGAGGAUGUUUAGGUGACUUAGGGUUAGGUAGAUGAUUUCAAUUUUGAAUGAAAUGCAAUGGUGUUUUGUGUUAGAUGAUACGUAGUUCAGACGCAAUUGAGUCGCUGCCCGCGAUAUUGACAUGUAGAACUUGUCGAUUUAGGUAUAUAUUCAUUGAAUUGUGUAGUUGAUAUGACAUGUAUAUUUUUUGUUUGCAAUUUGUCCAAUAUGUGUAAUGUGUCUAGUUGAUAUGUCGAAUAUGUGCAAUGAGUAGUGUAUAUGACAUGGUGAAAUGUUUGUAUUUUGUAGAUGGAUCGUUUAGUUCGAUUUUUUGAUGGUGGUGUUGUGAAACAAAAUGGGGAGUUAGAGAAUAUGAAUGAAUCAAUUGAAUUCUUCGAGGGUCCUCCAAGUUUUAGUGAUUUAGUUGACCGUGUAAUGAGGAAGUAUGGAUGUAGAGUGGAUGAGAUCAGUUUGAGAGGUCGUUUUGAUUGUGGGAAAGCUAGAGCUCAUUAUGUUCUCAUGAAGUUAGCAUCCGAUGCGAAUUGGAAGCACUAUAAGGAUGUAGUUCACGAAGCUAAUGUUGCAUGUUUGGAGGUUAUAGUCGAAAUUGUUCGUAUGCCUGACCCAAAUGUUGUCAUGAGGGAGGAAGUGGCAGUAGUGAACCAUAAUGGUACCUAGGAGUCAGAAAUGUUGCAUCACGUGUUAGGUGAAACAGAACGUGAUUUUGACUUGGCUAUUGCCAAUGAUGAUUUUCCCAAUAACGUUUUUGAGAGGGAUGAAGCAAAUAUAGAUGUCGAUAAUAUCUCUAUGGGUUCUGAAGAUUGUGAAUUCGAGGAAGAUGGGGUAGUAGAUGUCGAUAAUAUCUCUAUGGUGAGAGUCCAGUGAUUAAGAAGGGGAUGAAGUUCAAUAGUCUUGAGGAAUUGAAGUUUUUCUUGGCUGACUACGCAGUGAGGUUACAUAGACCUUUUAGCAUAGUUCACUCUAACAAGAACUUAAGAUACAAUGUGAUGUGCAAGCAAGGAUGCCAUUGGCGUGUAUGGUCUCGGCUAAUAUCAAGCACCGGAUAAUGGAGAAUUUCAAAUGUUGUGUAACCGCAUACUUGUCGGUCGUCACAGCCAAAAUGAGAGCAUGUACAGUGCACAGCAAAGUACCUUGGGCGGCGUAUCCUAGGCAUUAUCCGUAAAGACAGCGAGACAUCGGUGCCAUCCCUCGUGAAGUCCAUCUUCGCCUUUAGUGGGUACCGUGUGAAGUAUUCGAAGGCUUGGCGGGCGAAGCAACACGCCGUUGCCCUGCUUUGGGGCGACUGGAAGGAGUCGUACGGCAUGGUUCCUAGGGUACUCUCAGCUAUAACCUACUACAAUCCCGGGGUUAAAUGGUGCAUCGACUCAUGUGGCAUGAUGCAUCCUGACAAUGGAGUUUUGAAGCAUAUACUGCAAAGGGUAUUUUGGUGCUUCCCUCAAUGUAGUGAGGCAUUUCAACAUUGCCGUCCUGUGAUACUUGUGGAUGGUACAUUCUUGACUGGCAAGUAUAAUGGUACAUUAAUGAUGGCAGUUGGUGUAGAUCCAAAAUAGUAGCUUGUGCCUCUUGCUUUUUCCUUGGCCGAGAGUGAGAAUAAUGAGAGUUGGUCAUGGUUUAUGAAACUUGUUCGGCGACAUGUUCUUGGACCUUUACGGAUAGUGUGUAUGAUAUCAGAUAGGCAUCAUGGGCUCCUAAAUUGUACGAAGGACCACAUGGAUGGUUUUCCACCGCUUGUGCAUAGGUGGUGCACGAGGCACUUUGCUGCCAACAUGUCGCGUCGGCAGAAGAGCAACCGUGUGAUUGGAAAAUUGAAGAUAUUAUGCAAGGUUCAUACGGAGAGAGAAUUUAGUGAGAAGUUAGAAGAUCUAGUGAAGGACUUGAACGAUGACGCAAAAGAAUGGUUGAAGGGUGAAAUGGAGGACAAGGAUAAAUGGGCGUAGGCUUUCGAUGAGGGAGGGAUGCGUUGGGGUAUUAUGACCACGAACUACUCGGAAUCACUCAACGCAGUUUUCAAAGGCAUCCGAAGUAGGCCCGUCUCUGGAAUUAUUGAAUACUCAUUCGAAAAAUGCAACGCCUACUUUGUGGACCGAUAGCAAAAGGCACGUGCAAUGUUGGAUGAAGGCUAUAGAAUUGGGAAAGUUGCAGAUGAUUAUUUAUUAGAGGCUGAGCUUAGAUCCGUGCACCACUUAGUAGAACCGUACGGGCCAGAAAGGAUGGUGUAUUCUAUAAGAAGUUACGGUACGACUAACAUUGGGGGUGAGAGUCAUGGAGGCCGACACUACAGAGUGGAUCUGAAUGAAGUUUCGUGCACCUGCAAUGUUCCACAAUUGUUGCACCUUCCAUGUUCACACUUCAUUACAGCUUGCAAGGCAAGAGGUCUUAACUAUGAAAGCCCCUUGUACAUGUCACCGUUGUACUCUAGGGAGCACACCGUACAAAUAUGGGAAUCAAGCUUUCAACCUUACCUUGAUCCGUCACAAUGGCCGGCAUAUGAAGGGGUAGGGUACGUGCCUAACCCCAAUUUGAUGAGAAAUAAAGUAGGAAGGAGGCAGAAGAAGCAUUUCACAGGCGACAUGGACGUGUCGGAAGGGAGGUUUUCUGCAGAUUAUGGCACUGGUGAUUUUGAUGUGGACAAGUCGGAAAAUCGUUGCUCGAAGUGCCCCAAGAUCAUUAGGAAUUACACGUGCCGCAAUAGAAAAUCUAAAGGCACGAAAUCUAGGGGGAACAGUAAUAGGCCGCGUUCUUCGAACAAUAGGGUAUGCGCGUUGCUCGUAUUUUGCAUGGUUAUCAUUUUAUCUUUUUUUAUAGUAGUAAAUUAUGAUAGUUACCGUACUUAUCAUAUAAUAAAGCUUUUUACUAAUGAUCUUGUUUGUUGUUUCUUUAGGAUGGCGGCCCUGGCGUACCCUCUUCUUGAGUCGGCUUACGGCUUGCAGCACCGUGCCCACCACCUCGCGGACCUAAAUGAGGUACUACAUCAGUUAUUAACAAUGGUUGGUAAUUUAUGCUAAUGAAUGCAUACCUUAGGAUGAUAAUUGCAAGAUUUUUGUAUGAAAUGUUCUUACAAAUUGAGGAUGUGCCUGUCGUUACUAUUUGCUUGUGUACAAUGUAAACAAUUUCAUACUGGAAAUGUCAUUUAUAUCAUAUUUGUGUUACUUACCACUUUAGUAGCCCUUUAUUCUCAAAUGCAUUGACUUCUCAUUUUUGUAAUAAUCUUAUAAUGUUUUGCAGGAUUUGAAACCACUCGGGGCUAAAGUGCACUCACCACUUAGGUGGGAUGAGCGGUACGCGGAGUACUUGCAGAGAGCUGGUUUUUUGGAUCUCGCUGUUCAGGUUGUCGCGGGUCUCCCUCCAAUGGACGGACCGCUGUUGACCUCUAUGGUCGACAGGUGGCGUCCAGAGACUCACACGUUCCACCUCCCGUUCGGAGAGAUGACCAUCACAAUGCAGGAUGUCGCUAUGAUACUCGGUCUUCCACUGGAUGGGCAGCUAGUGACGGGAAUUAUACAGAAUGAGAAUUGGCAUGAUAUGGUUGAAAUGCAUAUUGGGAUUAGGCCACCAGAGCCAGAGGACGGAGACAACUCCAAGAAGACCUCCGGUGUCAGCUCGGCAUGGUUGAGGGAGCACUUCAACGUUUGUCCUCCGGGAGCAAAUGACGGGGUUCUGCAGUGAUAUGCUUGAGUUUGGCUAUGGCACUUUGUCAGCACAUUCCUCCUUCCAGAUGCAGCUGGGAAUACAGUGUCUUGGAUGGUUCUCCCCAUUUUGGGUCAGCAUUGGGACAACAUAGCCCUUUAUAGUUGGGGCUCAGCGGUUCUUGUCUGGCUGUACAGGCAGCUAUGUGAGGCUUACAGGCGCACCGCGAGGGAUUCCAAUGUUGGAGGGUGCACCUAUAUGCUGCAGAUUUGGAUUUGGGAGCGAAUGCCUGUGGGUUGACCUUCCCGUCUUCGUGUCGAUGUAAGUCACAAUGGCUAAUUCCCUUUUCUGCUUUAAUGUUCGGAAAACUGUUGUAUCAUGUGACCAAUUGGACUUGCAAUUUCAGCCAUGGCAUCGAGACGAUGCUCAUCCCACAUUCUACCAUGUGUGGAAGCAUGUGCGGCCCGUUCGUGGUAAUGCUGAUAGGCGCUACAGGGCCUACACAAACGAGUUUGAUGUUGUCACGCAGUACCAGGUAAUUUGCUCACCAGAGUUUGUUAAGCUCACUUCCGUAUAAUGAUAGAUGAAAUAAGUAUUGUGUAAAAAUUUUUGAGGGUUGAAUGGAAACCGUACGACCGUGAGCAGCUAAGCCACAUCAUAUUUUCACCGAUGUGCUACAGAGACAGAGAGCUGUGGAGGUGCACGACGCCAAUGAUAUUGUACUACGUCGUAGAGUUUCAUAUGCUGCAUAGGGUGAUGCGGCAGUUUGGGAGGAUGCAACCGUGCCCUCCUUUGGAAUUAUCGACUUCGCAGCAGCUGCACAAGUAUGCAGGAAUAAAUAACUAUUGGAGGUUAUUCGAUACACGAACUGAACAUGUUAUACUAAUACUUCACUAAUCUCUGAUGCAGGAUCGACCGCAGAAAGAGGUAUAAGGAGAAUGAUUGGAGGGUGAAGUAUGGUCAGUACCUCGUCAUGUGGGAGAAUAAGCAAGGAUGCGAUCCUGAAGGUGGACUGGCGACCAGGACCAAACAAUGAGUACAUACGAUGGUAUUGUACAUCGACGAGAACUAAAGUGAAACCAUUUUGGAGUAAUGUGCCCAUUGAGGAUGCACCGUUUGACUCAGACGCCGACAUAGCUGAUGCGUAUGACACGGUGACACGCUAUGGGACACAGCCUGAGCGUGCACCUCUCCACGACUACAUGGUAAGAUUUCGGUUUGUAAUCAUAGUAUCGUAACAUUGAUCACUCAUGGAAUGAAAACUAUGCGUACAGGGACAGCAGCUUGCAAGGCUCUCAAACAAGGCGGGUGUGGUUAUGGAGCACGCCGUCGGAUCCGGUGAUGGUCUGCUUCGUCAGUUUGCAGAGGUAGAAGCCCAACCUAAUUUUCACUUAUACUCGUACUACCUUUGUAACCCUAUCAAUAUCAUAGUCGUGAAUAUAUGCUGCUUACAUGUUGCAGAGGAUUCGGAAAAGCUGCAGGCGAAUGGCCAUGAGGAUGAACUGCAUGUCGUCCUCAGAUGUGCACCACGGGGGCAAUGGCCAGGGUACUUCUUCGGGAUCACGUCGGACUCCAUUGGCGACUCCCCCCAAGGCUGCAACACCGUCCACUGCUGCAGGUCCUAGCAGGAGAUCCGAGGCAAGAAACCCGCAUCCCCUCAGGCAAGCGAGGACUCUGAAGGUGAGCAGUCUGAGGAUGACGACCCUACAUAUGGUGAGGAACUGGAGAUUUCCGGCAUGAUCGAUGCUCCACCUGUGACUCAGACACAGGGUGAGUCCAGCCAGGUACAUUCACAAGUUUCCCCAAAUUCAAUUCUAGAUUGUUAAUGUUCACUCCCGAAGUGUCAUACAAAUUUUAUGCUUUGUGCCCAAUUAUUCCAUAGGAACCUGCACCUCCUACCCGGAUGCCACGCCGGCGGCGUCUUUCCCGGGACCAUACCGACGUUGGCAGCGCCAAUGUGCUGCCCACGCAUCCAAGGAGGGAGCGUCGCCCAAGAGAUCCUUUUAGCCCUCCGGUUGAGCGGCGGUCAUGACACUGAACGUUACAUAUCUCAAGUGUGAUGCACUAGGUGUGCAAUUUAUGUUAUAUGUGUGUGCAAGACUAUUGGAACUGUCACGUGUGUAAAAGACUAAGUUGGUUGUUAGGUUUAUUUCUGUCACGUGUGUAAAAGACUAAGUUGGAUGUUAGGUUUAUUUCUGUCCGUAUAAUGUUAUAUGUUUGCUCCAUGACAUACUUGUGUUUCGUGUAUUUUUUCGUAAAUGUUCGCACUGGUAGGCUAUCGCGUACUAGACGAGAUACGGAAUAAUUUCGUGGUUCAAACUAGUUUAAGAAAAAUCAGAACAAAAAAAGCUAUUUAAGUUUCAUCAGCCGGAUUGCUGGGGCAGCUGAGUCGGCGGUAGUCUAGCAGCCCAGAAACCUACUGAAACUUUAAUGGAUUUGGCACGGGAGGGCACCCCUGCCGCCCCAGGCGGAGUGGCGCGGCAGCCCCCAUCCACCAAAACCUACUGAAAACUUUGUGCAAAUGGCGCGGCAGCGCACUCCUACCGCGCCACUCCGCUUGGCACGGCAAGCCCCCCCCCCCAAAAAAAAAACCUACUCAAACUUUGUUUCGCUUGGCGCGGCAGCGCACUCCUGCCGCGCUAGGCGGAGUGGCGCGGCAAGGCCCGCCCCCCCCGAACCUACUGAAACUUUGCUGCGUUUGGCGCGGCACCCCAACUUUGCCGCGCCACUCCGCCUGGGGCGGCAGCGGCAUUCCUGCCGUGCCACUUCCCUUGGCGCGGCAAGCCCCUCCACCCCCCGACACCUACUGAAACUUUGUUUCGGUUUGCGUGGCAGUGCACUACUGUCGCGUCACUCUGCGUGGUGCGGCAAGCCCCCACCCCACGAAACCCUACUGAAUCAUGAGGAUAGUAUUUUAUCAUGGUGUUGGAGUCCUAGUUUUCAUGGAUUCCUUUUUUUUACCGGGGUCGACCCUAAAGCCAUAAUGUCUCAAAACGCAGAGGGUAUAGAGAAACUUUUCUUUUUUCCUUUGUCUCGAACUUCGUGAAGAACUCCAUUCUAUAUCUCCAACAAAAAAGUAGGGUUGCGCCCCAGUUGUACACUCCCUUCGUUCGGAGAACCCUUAUUGAUUCUGAACUUUGUUCGCAAAGUAAGCAUCCUUUUAACGGGCCAGCCCUUUUUAAUGCGCCGCUUGACCCAGUUUUGAAAAUGAGCUUUGCUCUUCUGGGCGCCCCAACGUAUCCAGGCCAAAUCCCAACCGGCUUGGGUCGGAUAAAAAAUGCUCAAAUAUACCCAAAAAUGCUCGGAUAUACCCUACGCUCUAUCGGACCCUACCAGUAAUUAUAGAAAGAGUAUUGUCUUUUUUUAAAUAUUACAGUACUUCUUCACAAGUUUUUGUUCAAUCUUAAUUUUGAUCGAAGCUACUACUGUUUCUUUGACACUCUAGCGCUAACUACUAGCUCGGAGAGGAAACUUUGAUGCGUUUGGACAUAGUUCUCUCACAAAUGAAAAUUGUUUUUGACAACUAAUCGUAGUUCUCAGAAUAAACAUAAACAUAGUUUUCUCAUAAAUGAACAUAGUUUUCACAACUAAAGAGAAACAUGAUUCAGCAAAAUUAACACGUUCAUCUAGUCCAAGUCACCUUCAUAUAGUAACUCAUCAUCAUCAUCAUCCUCGGCAACAACAACUCCCUUCCCUUUCUUAUCGACAUUAACCUUACCAACAGGUAAAUCGGCAACAAGAGCCUUCAUCGUCUCCAUCUGUGCCUCUUCCGCUUUUUGUUGUAACUCUUCCAUUUCAAUCCUUCUCUUUCUUACCCUAACCUGCUGCAAAUAUUCUUCCCAUGAACCCUUAGGGUAUUUCGCAUUCGGAUCAACCACAUAACCUAAGCGAUCUCUUUCCUCCCUCAACCUUUGUUUCUCCAACUCCCUCUCCUCCUGCAACUUCCUCCUAUUUUCACUCUUCUCAUUUUCAGUUAGAGGUCGUGGAUACUUGGAUCUAUUCUGCCUCCAAUACUUAAUAAUAGUUUCCCUCGCAUAAAGUCCUUCAGGCUCCACUCCAGUCUCAUGCACCAUAUCUUGAUAUAUUUUCCCCCGAAGCAAGUCGUUGUCAGGGAUAGGCACAUCAUACUCCUUCCUAAUCUUUUCUUUAAGUUCUUGUUGUUUCCUUGACUUCCAUGGUUCCGAUGUAUUACCCAACUUUAAUAACAAAUCACAACGACCAGAAAAAUCUUCCCAAUCACAUGUCCUUCCCUCCUGCAACAACAAUUUCAUAUUCUUACAAAUUUGAAACAAGUUCCAACCUUAAUAACACACAAGAGACGAGUAGUUACUAACCCAGUAAUCGCCAUGUGCAUUUCCACAGAACGAACCAUAUCCAAGUUCAGAAGGCACCACACCUUGUGUUGCCAAUAUACCACACUUGCAUCUAUCACUAGGAGAGGACACACAUGGCCACGGUGCCUUUCCACUCUCGAACUCCAGCACUUGCUCCUCCGUUGGCCACAUUGCCAUUGGGCCGUAUAUAUACUCAUUGAAAUCACACAACGGCCACCCAUCCUGCAAAAAAAUGGUGACGUGAACUACUCAUACGUAAAGUAGCUAGAAAACGCUGCUCCAACUUCCAAGCAAUAACAUCAAGUAAAAGUAUGAACAAUAUACUGCAAAAUUAUAACUGCUAGCUACAUGACAUACUAAUAUUCUCAUAAUAAACUUACAUGAGUCUUUAGCGAGCAUCGAAAGAAUGGAGUAAACUUAGGUGGAUCCUCUAAGUUAGGACGCAUAAGCUUAGCAGGAACACCACACUUGCACAUGGGAGGAUCCCUCACACGCCUACAAGCAGCCUCCUGCUUCUCCUCCUCGGUCAUCCUAGGUGGGUUUGGUGGAGGAGGAACCCAACGCCUAAAGUGAUGGUAUGGUUUAAGCUCUGUGCUAUGAUAUGGGAAUAGGCGGAUCCUAGGAUCAUAUUUGUCGGGUCCAUCAAUCUACUGAAAGAAAUCACAAGGUGCGGCAGGCAUUGGAUCAAAAGUCCACUUGCAUACAUAGAAGGCUCUUCCGGCUGUCUUUGGAUGACUUGAUUGUUUCACCUCUGCUUGCACGCCACAUCUACAAAGAGGUACCGGAAGGGCAGGAGGUACGGGACCAGCACCAUUGGACUCGCCCACAUACGGACAUACCACCUACGCCGCUUGUAUUCACAACCAAACGACGUCAUCUCACCUAGACAUCAAGUGCUACAAAAUUAAUACACAAAUAAACUUUACACACGUAAUCCAAACGAGCUAUAUACAUCAUUUCGAUAAAAUGUAAACACUCCAUCUACAAAAUACAAACUCUGAAACAUAUCAACUAUAGCAACUAUAUUAAGGAACAAAAAUAUGAGACAAAUUAAUUGAACAUAUAAAAAAAUACAUGUCAUGUAAACCACACAAUUCGAUGAGUAUAUACCUAUAUCGAAAUAUUCAACAAGUUCUACACAUCAAUAUCGCGGGCAGAGACUCAAUUGCGUCUGAACUACGUAUCAUCUAACACAAAAUACCAUUGCAUUUCAUUCAAAAUUGAAAUCAUCAACCUAACCCUAAGUCACCUAAACAUCCUCCGAUCUACCAAAUGCAACGGUAAAACACGAGAAAAAGUAUGGGGAUACCUUCCACACGGAGCAGGGAUCGAUUUCCACCACUUACCCCCACCAAAAUCGCCGAAUUUUGGGUGGAUUUGGGGGUGGUGCGGCGGGGGGCGGCGCAACAAGCUAGGGGCGCUGGUCUGUCCGGAGGAGGAAGAAAGGAGGGAGGGAGGAGGAAGGGAGCCAGCGCGCUGCUGUAGCGUAGGCUCUGCCGCGCCAUGCGGGCUGGCGCGGCAAGUGCCCGCCCACGUCAGCGUGCACCUGGCGCGGCGAGUCACCGCGCGAGCGUGGUAGGGGCCCGUCGCGCCAGUGCAUGCGGCGCGGCAGAGGCUACCUGCCGCGCCAGGCGGUCUGGCGCGGCCAAAAGGGUUAUCUGCCGCAAAUAUAGUCCCGCGGAGGUUAUUUUUAAAAUAAAUAAAAAAAGGUUAAAAAUAAAAAAAAGAGAACAAAAAGAAUCAAGUCAGAUUACGGAGAGGUUCGAAUGACUUAAUUUAUUAAAGGACCACUUCACUGGACGGAUCUCCUAAUAUCCAACCUAAUUUUAAUUAUGAAAUAAUUGAAGCAUAUCGAUCUGUCAUGAACAACAAUUAUAUCAGGAUUGAAUUAGCAGUCACUGUUGAAAUUGCAAAUGACCAUCAACCAAACCUUCUUAUUAUAAGAUAACAGUAGUAAAACUGGCUUCUUUUUUCUUGUCUGUAAGACGCUCUACUCGUGUAUCAUCAUAAGAAAAAAAUCCUAAGAAUGGUAGUGAAGAUGAGCAGUAGUACCAGAGGUCGAUUUACCUAUUUGAUAGCCCUUUGCCACCUGUAGAGCUCUAGUAAACUGAUUGUUUCCUUCUGUGUUUCAUCCUGGGCAACAACAGGAAAAUUGUCAAAGGAUCAUAAAUAAAAACAAACACACAAUGCAUGUUGUUAAUAUUACUAUUGGAAAACUAAAAAAAUGUCAAGCAGUAGUAAUUUCAAGUGCCAACAGCAGGAAAAUUGUCAAAGGAUGAUAAAUAAAAACAAACACACAAUGCAUGUUGUUAAUAUUAAACUCUAAAUCUUUGGAUUUCAUCCCAUCAUCUUGACUUUCCAAUAUCACAACAUCAUUUGAAUUUUCUUCAGUGACAUGAUUUUGUACAGAAUUGAUACCAAUUUCUGCUGUGUUUGUUUUUCUCAUGUAGUGGAGUCACAAUCACAAGUCAUUGAUGCAAAUGAAAAGAGAAGGAAAAGAGAUAGAGAGCGUUAUGCCAAAAUUACAGAUGAAGAAAAGCAUGAUAAACUGAAAAAACAACAUGAAGCCUAUCAUAGAAGGAAAGGUAGAGAUGCAACACAGUACCAAAAAAAAUACACAAAAGAGAGACAGAAAUAUGCAAAUAUGCAGCUAGAACAAAAGAAAGCUAGAAUAGAACAAGCCAUAACUAACCGUGAAAUGAGGAGCAGCAAAACAACGAAAGGUUCAAUUGCAAUAGAGAAUCCUGCAUAUAUUGAAACAAAUAUGUUAGUUGAAGUCAAUACAUCUAGCCUUAAUGUUAAACACAGGAAACAUGUGACGCCAGGAGAAAGGCAAACAUUGCUAGCCCGUCAAAAUAAAAAAAUCAUAAAAAAACAAAAGGGGACAGUUUAUUCAUCAUCAGAAGAAGAUGAAACCAUGAGCGAAGAGGACAAUGACAUAGAAAUGCAAAAACAGGCAAAAAUCAUGAAUCUCGGUAAUAUUCUAAAUUCUAUACAAAACUUUCGCAUUUCAAUACAAUAUAUGCAAUACUUUAAAAUUUGAAUAGACUACAUACAUCCAUAUAUUAUACUAACAAUCUCAAUCAAACAGAAAUACCCUCUUCAGUAUGGACAACCAUAGAAGGCAUUGAUGCCCCAAAACAACUAACAAAUGAUAAAGAUAAGGGUAAGGUUAUCAACUCCAAAGUAUAAAUUCUCACAUGAUACAAAAGAAACAAAAAUAUGUAUUCACAAAAAUCUGUACAGAUAAUGAUGGAGUGAUAUUUGAACAAGACACGAACGAGGAUGAUUACAUGUUCUCAUGUCAAGGUAUGCUUCAAUACUUUAAAAAAAAUCCUUCCAUCAUUAUGUUAAUACUUUCCUAAAAAAUUUUAUAUAAAAAAAAUUCAACAAAAUUGGACACAGAUGUGGAUAUCGAAAUCAGAGAAGACGAAGAAACUACUACAAAGAUCUCAAAUCCAUAUGACAUUGUCUACAACAACGUACUAGACGACACAAACAUGCUGAAAAAUAAAAAAAUUUGCAUAUACUGUAAUGCAAAGAAAUUUGAGUAUGAAUCUGAGGGGUUAUGAUGCAGAAAACGACAUAUUAGAUUAGCCAAUCAAGAGACACCUCCUGAACUCAUGAGACUUUGGACAAGCAACGAUUCUGAUGCAAGACAUUUUUGGAACAAUAUAAGAUUUUUCAAUGGACACUUCUCAUUUACAUCUCUUUAUUGCCACCUAGACAGUGCGACCACUGACAUGAAAAAAGCUGGUAUUUACACCUUUCGAGCUCAUGGCCAGAUGUAUCACGAUAUACAAUCAUUUGGAAAUAGUUGCUCAGAUCCAAAGCAUCUAGAGUUGUACUUCUACGAUGAUGAUCCAAGCCUAGAGCAUCAGUAUCGAUGCUGCCGUGAAGAAAAGUACAAGCAAGACAAACAUGUAGUCACAAUUUUAACACAAAUUCUACGUGAAAACCCAUAAUCUAAACAGUUUAGAAGUUUGGGACAGAAUGAAAAACUUGAUGACUACAGGCUGAUCUUGAACCUUGACCAAAGAUUAGACCAAAAACCAUACAAUGCACCAAUAACUUUAGAGGUAGCUGUAGUGUGGAUCAAGGGAAAUGAAAGAAGAAAUACCUUUGACAAGAAUGUAAUACUACAUGGAAACAACAACGAAAUACAAGGCAUCAAAUCAUACUAUGGCUGCUAUGAUCCAUUAUCUUAUCCUCUAUUCUUUCCAAGAGCUGAACUCGGUUGGCAUUGAAAUAUCCCAAGGGCCAAUACAAUAUUGGAAGAAUUGAGAAAUGAUAAUGUUGAUCGCAACAAUAGUGACAACGACCCAGGUUAGAAUUUCAUAUACUUUUGUCUUCUAAAUUUAGUUUACUAAUAUGAAACAACUACAUAAAUAUUCCUCUAACUUUAGCGUUCCAAUUCUUACACAGAUUCAAGCAGUAAGCUGUGGGUAACCAUGAGAGAAUAUUACUGCUAUAAAUUCCAUGCAAGACCAAGCAUAUUCAACCCAAUAUUGCAUGGUGGUAGACUUUUUCAGCAGUUUGCCGUUGAUUCAUACAUCAAGAUUGAGAGCUCCAGAUUGGACUUCAUAUGGCAUCAUCAGAAAGAAAUAAGGGCAGAUCUAUACAAAGGCCUCCUGGAUAGCAUUCAAGAAGGAGAACAAAAGGGAGAUAAAGUAGGAAAACGAACGGUGCUAGCAUCAUCAUUUAUUGGAGGGCCAAGAGAUAAAUUGCGACGAUAUCUAGAUGCUAUGGCUUUAGUAAGCAAAUAUGGAAAGCCAGACAUAUUCCUAACAAUGACCUGCAACCCAAACUGGGAAGAGAUCACCCGAGAACUAGAGUUUGCACAAACUCCUCAAGAUCCCCCAGAUCUCGUGGUUAGGGUUUUCGGGGCAAAACUAGAAGAAAUGAAGAAUCAAUUGUUUAAAAAGCACAUUCUUGGAAAGGUAAAGGCAUAUACCUAUGUUGUAGAGUUCCAAAAGAGAGGCCUACCUCAUGCACACUUUUUGCUGAUAAUGACCGGAAAAUACAAGUAUACAUGUCCAGAGCAAUAUGACAGAAUAAUCUAUGCCGAGCUGCCAGACAAGCACGAGUAUCCAGAUCUAUAUAAAAUGGUCAUCAAACAUAUGAUGCAUGGUCCUUGCGGCAUAUUAAACAGAAAUUGCCCUGCACAAAGAAUCGAGCAUCUUGCAAACACAAUUAUCCAAGACCAUUUAAUGAAACUACAAUUCAAGGCAAGGACUCCUACCCAUGGUAUAGAAGAAGAAAUGACGGUCGCACUGAAACAGUCCGGAACUGUAAACUAGAUAACAGAUGGGUUGUUCCUUACAACCCAUACCUAUUGCACUUUUUCAACUGCCACAUAAAUGUUGAUGUAUGCUCAAGCAUUAGAGCCGUUAAGUAUCUGUUCAAAUACAUCUACAAGGGACAUGACCGGGCCUCUGUAUCUGUAACUGGAGCAGAUGAUGAAGGAGAAAUUGAUGAAAUUAGAUAGUACAGAAACGCACGGUGGGUUACACCUCCAGAAUUAAGCAUGCAAGUGCUGAGAGCCGAUAUAUAUCUUUGACUCUAUUGGAAGUGUUUGAAGUGAGCAAUACAUCAUUUUAUAUAAAUCCAAUCCAUUUGAUCACAUUAAAAUUCAUGAGACAAGUCUCUCUGUCCCCGUUAAGUCAUAUAUGAAGGGUCAAAACAAACUGGUAUAAAAAGCAUGUACAUAAACCGUAUGUAUAAUUGGUGGUAGGUUUGCCGGUAUGUAAAAGUUAUAUUGUUUAUGCGGAUCUAUCUAUUUAUACCUAUAGUAAUCACAGAUGCUCUAGAAAAUCCCACGUCAACGAGAAAGAGAAAAUAUCUAGCCAUUGAUCCAUCGUGGCCCCCUUUUUUUAGCCGUUCAGAUUUAAAAAAGUACAAUUAGUUAUUAGUUACUUGCAUUUGGUUAACUUUGCUAGGUUGUUCUAAGGAUAAUAGGUGCAAAUGGACAGUGGGGCCACUGGUGGACGUGCGUUCCUUGACAGAGCAUGCCUACACGAGAACUAAGGAAGACCGGCUGUGUGGACGUGGAGGAUGUGAUAUUACACGAUGCUGGAACAUGGACGGUUGCCACGUUAAUCCUCGGGUACAAAUUAGAAUUCAUUACAAUUUUUAGGAAAAAUAUGUACGGAUGUAUGAUCCGUUAGAGGAAAAGUGAAUAGGACGGACCAAAAUGUUGGAUCCUUUGUUGGAAAAAUGGUUUGAAUUUUGGCAAUGUGAGUAAGGAUUUCCUUUGUUUUGAGAGAGAGCCAAAUAGGAUUACAUUAUUUGUUAAUGUUCGUCUCAUAUUGAUUUUCAACCUUAAAAAAAUGAUGCACUAUUUCAACUACAAUCACAUUAAACAAAACAUAAAAUUCGAUCCAUCUUGGCCUCUCGAGCUAUGUGAGUAGGAGAACAGCAUAGCAAAGAUAAACGAUCUAAUUAAUCUUCCUAGGAAGAGAUUUGAACUCUUGGAAACAACAAAAUGAAAUCAUGCAAUUCGAUUGGCAAAGUGACAAUACAUCAUCGGUACAAUGAUCAAAAAUAGCGAUUCUUGGUGAGGUACAAAUGUAUGAUCCAUUGUUGGGAAAGCAAAUAGGACGGACUAAACUUUUCGUCACAUAUUGAUUUUCAGCCACUAAAAAAAGCGAUGAGGUAAGAUAGUCAUUUGUUUCUAAAUACACAGUACAACAUAGUCAUUGUUUCUAGUCCGUUGCGGUGCGGUGGGAUAAGAAUAAAUAAUCACAUGACAAGACAUGGCAUGGCAGGCUAUCAUGCAACAUCAUGACUAGGGAAAACCAAAAGCACCAAGGAAGAUGAACAGAUUCUUGCUGAUGUCCCAUCACAGAGCAAAUAAAGCAGGAUAAAAGGGGAUUGAUCUUCGAACUAGAAAAUAGGGGAUCGAUCUUUCCAUUGAUCUUACAAAUAAAAGAUAACAGCAUAGCAAAGAUGGCCAGGGUUCCAACAAAAUCUAAAUCUAAAAUUACUAAUUAACAGCAUAGCAAAGAUAACAGCUGGCCAGGGUUCCAACAAAAUCUAAAUCUAAAGUUACUAAUUAACAGCAUAGCAAAGAUAACAACAUUGAUCUUCCACUAGCGCGGCUUGCUCACUCCAUUCACCCCUCGUUCCCGGCCAUGACGUGGUGGCGGCUCCACUUCUUAUGGUUCUCGCCCCUCAGGGGGUGGACCCAGAACGUGGUCCUUGACCUCAUUAAGGAUCCCCCACCGAUGCCUCGUUCCGGGGUAGACAGGGCACGCGAAGGUGUUGUCAGCGCGGUGAAAGAUGCGUAGAGUAUCACCCCGGGGGAAGGGCGUGUGGUAGUCGCAGCGCCGGUCGUCUGAUGAGUCCGUCAGUUUGGGAGUCGGAGUCGAACCCAUCAGCUGGAAGGGUCACAAUCAAGGUCAACUCUUGAUGCGGUGACGAGGGCGUGAGGGUGGAGGAAGCCACCCCCACCGUCGGAGGAGAACGGGAACGCACCGGGGAGCCCACAAUAGCUCCGCAGCGACCAUCCACGAGCGAUAGCAGGUUGAGGUCGGCAGCGUUGGAGCGCGAUCACGACGACGAGCGCAAUGGCCACCCAAGGUCGCUGGCGUCAGAGUGGGAUACCGACGAGAAAGCGCCGCCGUAACGGGACGACCCCACUGCGUGGACGUAGCGCCAUAGCGCUGCCGUGAAGUUGCGGGCAGUGGCGCGGCAGUAGCACGGCGACAACCCGCCACAGGAGCACGACGACGAUGAGAGGGACCUUUAGUCCUGAAUGAUUAGUUUCGGUUGAUUUUUCGAGAGAUAUGAGGCUUACCAAGCAGAACUAAUGCUCAUAUUUCCACUAGUGAGUGCAAGGUUUCCUCGACGCAUAAGACGAUUUAUCCACCGUGGUUCCUAACCACAAGUAGAAAUGCACACAUUUACUAGGGGCGGUUCCUUAAGAGAAGUGUAUUUUCCAGGGGCAGUUCCUUAAGAUAAGUACCGAUAGAAAUCUGGCAGUGUUCAGGUACAGUGCGCGAAAGCAACUGCUAGUGACUGUAGAUAACGAUAUCCAUCGAUACAAAUAAAGGCUAGUAUCACAUCUAAAAACUAGCUUUGAUAUUCAGCUCAGAUCCGUGCCUCUAACUUUUCGUGCUCAUUAUAUAAAUCAUAAAUUUCCUAAAAAAUUAACAAAAUCGUACAUAAAAAUCCAGAAUGUUUAUCAAAAGGUAAGAUUCAAAUCAGUGGUAGAUGUUCAGGAUUAACAACUUUCUUACUCCACAUAUUUUUGUUAGGUGAGGAGGCAUUGCAAGUUUGCAACUGUUGAAUGAAAUCCGUACUUCGAUGGAACUAGGAGGUAGUUGGUUUGAAGUAUAUACCAUUUAGAUAUCUAAUAAUCCUUCCUUUUAUUUCAAUAAAAAUAUUGGUUCCACGAUCAUCUAGGAGUAUGGUCUUGUACUCUCUUCUUGUUCGAGCUUUAUGUGAAUCCAACCCUAUGGAGCCAUAUUCAAUGCUCGUUAAAGAUAGUAACUAUACGGGAGUAAUGAGAAGUUAAAGGGAUGAUUGAGAUAAGACAUGUGGCAUCCAUCAAGAUAGUGAUCCUCCAUGGAACUGAAUUCAAUGCUUGAUAUCGAACCUGUCCUGAAGAUGAAAAGUUUCUCUAUAAAUUUAGACGUCCUAAACUUCAAUUCUUGUGCACACAGAAUCUACUCGCAGUCGUAGGCUCGUAGCUUAUAGACAAAUGACAUUGCAAGCAAUGGCGUUGCCCUACUUGCAAGAACUAGUCAUCUCCACACUUCUCGUUGUAUCAUUGUGCAUGUACAUUAAGUUCUGGAGGCUGAGAAACCCGUUGUACCCCAUGGACUGGCCGGUUGUGGGCAUGCUCCCUUCCAUCGUUGCCAAUCUCCACAACUUCCACGACGUACUCACUGUCUUCCUUGCCACCAACGGGUGUAACUUCAAGGCGCGAGGGCCGGUAGCAAGUGGCAUGCGGUUCUUCGUCACCGCUGAACCGGCAAACGUCCGGCACAUCUUCACCUCCAACCAUGCAAACUACCCCAAGGGCGAGGAUUUUGCUGAAAUCUUCGACAUCAUUAGCGGCACCCUCUUCACCAUUGAUGGUGAGGCCGUCCGCCAGCAGAGAGCCAUGUUCCAGAACAUCUUCAGCAAUCCACGGUUACUUGCCUUGAUGGCAAGUUGCUGCCGUGACAAGGUGGUGAACGGACUCCUCCCGUUCUUGACCCGCAUGGGGAGCACCAGGACAACGUUCGACAUGCAGGAUUUGAUCACAAGGUUGGUGUUCGACCUUACUGCCACGCCGAUCUUCGGUGUCGACCCGGGUUGCCUGUCCAUCAGCAUGCCGUCUAUCCAUGUUGCAACCGCCAUGGACACGUUCAUGGAGGUCGGCUUAUUCCGGCACACCAUACCGGCUUGUUUCUGGAAGGUGAUGAGACGGCUAAACAUCGGUCCAGAGAGGAAGCUGGCCAUGGCGCAAACAGUGAUGCAUGCUUUCAUCAGGGAGAUGACUGAGAAGUCGAAAGCCAGGUGCACCGAUAUCCUUGAUGAUGUGUUGGCCAUGGACAUUAUUUCUGCUAACCCAUCAGUGGGCAGAGACGAUGUCCUACUACGUAAUGUACUCAUCGCUCACAUGAUCGCCGGGCGGGACACGGUUGGUACCACGCUACCGUGGGUAUUCUACAACCUCGCCAGGAACCCCCGUGUGGUCUCUUGCAUCCGCAAGGAACUGGCACCCAUCGCAUCACUCAAGGCCACUGCUCUCGCCUCCAAUAGCAUCAGCAGUAUGGUCGUCUUUGAUCCAAAGGAGACUGAACACCUAGUCUACCUUCAGGCAGCCUUAUUGGAGUCGCUCAGGUUGUACCCACCAGGCCCGAUCGAGCGCAAGGUGGUGCUAGCCGACGAUGUGCUCCCAAGUGGUCACCAGUUGUGCUCCGGUGAAACCAUCCUGAUCUCCAUCUAUGCCAUGGGUAGAAUGGAAUCCCUGUGGGGCAAGGAUUGCCAUGUGUACCGUCCGGAGAGGUGGCUGUCCGAGGACGGUGCUAAACUGCGUUACGUGCCGUCCAAUAAAUUCAUGGCGUUUAACACAGGGCCGAGGAUGUGCCUUGGCAAGGACAUAGCAAUUGCGCAGAUGAAGACCAUCGUUGCCGCGGUGGUGUGGAACUUUGAUAUGGAGGUGUUGGAAGGGCAGAGCAUCGAGCCAAAGCUGUCGUGCAUUCUUCAAUUGAAGAACGGGCUCAUGAUGAUGGUUAAGCAGAGAGAGUAAUCAAUGUGACAUGGAAUGAGCUAGGUGCAAUGCAACUACAGAUCGACUCAGUCCUGGCAUAUAUGGUUUGAACAAAAUAGUUAAAUCCAAACUUAUAAUGAAGUAAAUGGAAGCGUAACAUGUAUUUUCGUCAUUAAAUAAAGUCUACGGAUGCCGUCGUCUGGCCAUCUGAAAGCUGGGAUCAUACCCAACUACAGACUCUUUGAUUUCAGUACUGAUAGUUUGUACUACUCCCUCUUUCUAAAUAAGUGAUGUUUUCAGAUUAUCUUAAGCUUAUUUGAAACUUUGAUGGCAUAUUAAUUGUUUUUCUAUGUGUAAAAGGUAUACGAGUACAUUUAUGUUUAAUAGUAACUUCAUCAAAAGCAUCCGUUCACUUUAUGAAUAUUUUGUGACAAAAACUAGCCAUCACAGUUAUGUUUUUGAGGUAAUUUCAAUAUCAAAAACUUCAUUUAUGAGACCGGAGGAACUAACAUACAAAGACAAUGAAUGUAAAUACAAUAUGCCCUCCGGUGUCCUGGACUUCAUAAGUUGUAUCUGCAAUACUCAAGAGUGAAACGAAAGAGGGCGAUGUCAAUUUGAGUGUAUCAAAAGAGACUUAAAACAUUCAAAUGAUGAAGAUAAAUUGUAUCAAAUCAUAGUCCCUAUUAUACUUAUGUAAUUAGUACAAUUUAUUUAAGUUGGAACAUACUUUUUUUUACCGUGUCUUGAUCCAAGUGCGCAUGUGGGUUUUGCAUGUUUUUCCUGGUAGGAGGCACCUGACUAAUGCGGUGUCUGGAACCUUGGUUACUCCUUUUUAUUGAUUUCCUUCCUUAAGCUACCUGAGCACCCUAGAAUAGUGAUGGGCUGCCAAGGUAUUGGAUCAAAUGAAUUCAGACACCUCUAUGUAUUUAAGGUAUUGGUGUGAGUAGCGUGUAACGACUGAUUCUGUGCUGAGUCGUACCAACCAUAUCGAGGCUUUGUGCACGCUAGCUCAUUCAGGGUGAAAGUCUGCCCCGUCCGUACAUGAUAAGCUCGAGAGUCGAGACAUUGAUUCGGCAGCUGCCGUACGUGUAUGUUUUUGUCCUUCCAUUUGCUGUACGUGUACGUGCUCGUUCCGUUGGUGCUGUGGACGGAGAGCGGCUACUUAGACAUGGACUUCUGCCGAAUCCGCAUGAUGGACAACGACAACCAGGCCCUCGACGCCGUCUUGCCCCGCGAUGAGAACGGCUGCGGCGUGCGAGACGGCACGGCCAUGACGAUCACAGAGGAGAUCUACUGGAGCGACGAGGCCAACAAGACCUGCGACGGGCUUUACGCCGAGCUCACCUGCCGCGUCUACUUCAAGGCCCACGAAGGCUUCAACCUUACCUUGCGCGACGGUGCCAUCUGCCUCUUGCCCACCGACGCCGAUGUCAAGUACCAGCACCAGCACUGGAUCUAGACCCACCUUACGCCGGCUCCCUUCCUCCUCCCUCCCUCCUUUCUUCUUCCUCCAGACCCACCCGAGCCCGAGGUUCUUGCGCCGCCCCCCGCCGCCCCACCCCCAAAUCCACCUAAAAUCCGGCGAUUUCGGUGGGGGAAAGUAGUGGAAAUCAAUCCCUGCUUCGUGUGGAAGGUAUUCCCCUACUUUUUCUCGUAUUUUACCGUUGCAUUUGGUAGAUCGGAGGAUGUUUAGGUGAUUUAGGGUUAGGUAGAUGAUUUCAAUUUUGAAUGAAAUGCAAUGGUGUUUUGUGUUAGAUGAUACGUAGUUCAGACGCAAUUGAGUCUCUGCCCGCGAUAUUGACGUGUAGAACUUGUCGAUUUAGGUAUAUAUUCAUUGAAUUGUGUAGUUGAUAUGACAUGUAUAUUUUUUGUUUGCAAUUUGUCCAAUAUGUGUAAUGUGUCUAGUUGAUAUGUUGAAUAUGUGCAAUGUGUAGUGUAUAUGACAUGGUGAAAUGUUUGUAUUUUGUAGAUGGAUCGUUUAGUUCGUUUUUUUCAUGGUGGUGUUGUGAAACAAAAUGGGGAGUUAGAGAAUAUGAAUGAGUCAAUUGCAUUCUUCGAGGGUCCUCCAAGUUUUAGUGAUUUAGUUGACCGUGUAAUGAGGAAGUAUGGAUGUAGAGUGGAUGAGAUCAGUUUGAGAGGUCGUUUUGAUUGUGGGAAAGCUAGAGCUCAUUAUGUUCUCAUGAAGUUAGCAUCCGAUGCGAAUUGGAAGCACUAUAAGGAUGUAGUUCACGAAGCUAAUGUUGCAUGUUUGGAGGUGUUGAUGCCAGAUUUUGACACUAUGAAAUUGGCGUCAGAAAAGGAAGAAAUCAAGAGAUGCGGCAAGACACGGAGGUCACGAUUGGAAAUCGGCCGAUUGGUGCUACAGUUGAGGAUCGACCGAUUGGUGCUGCAGUGUUUCCGCGAAUGGAGUUGGUGGAAAUCGGCUGAUUGGGAGGCUGGAGCAAUUGGGCCGGUAUGGGCUUAAAGUGAACUAUGAAGAUAAAGAGGGAGUCAGCCCAUGGGAGCGCGAUGAUCAACUCCAGUACGAGUCACACUUGUAAAUAUUUGUUUUCGUUUAAAAUUAGAGAUAGAGUCCUAGUCGGUUAAGAAAUUGGUUAUAACAGGCUAUAAAUAGUCACCUUCGUAGAUCUGUAAUCAUCAUCAAAUCAAUACAACAAACUACUAUUUCCUCACACUUACUUUCGAGCAGGCGACUUCGCCAAUACUUUUCUUCUUUUUCACGAGUUCGUACAGGUUGGCGGGGCUGCAUCAACUUGAUCUCCGGCCGAUUCUGUAAGUUCCGCUUAUCGAGUAAUAUCUAAGCUUUAACUUCGGACGCAUCGCUGUCGUUUCGUUUAGAUUUAUUCACUAGUUAUCGAUAUUCACUAGAAUUCUAGGUCUUGCCUUUUGUUCUAGUUUUAUCACCAGUUAUCCAGCUAGGAAUUGGAACUUUCAGCUUUCUUGUACUUUAUUACUUAAUCUAUCGCUUUCUGCAUAGCCAAUUCAGAUCUAUUCCUAGUAUUGUUACUGUAGCGUUGUUUAGAUUACUCUAGCAGUUUUCUUUACUAACGCUGCCCGGUAAUCGGCCGCAUUAUAGCCGAUUUCUUUAUUACAGCAAAUCAGCCGAUUCGCUGAUAAGCUUUCUCGAGAUCGGAACCUUAGCCGAUCGCAACCUCUGGGAUCUGACAUGUUUCUUUCCUUGCCAAUCAACAGGUCAGAUUGGCUGGCACACCGCGCGAACCGCACUAGGGCAAUCACCCGAACAAGAGUUAAGCAGAUUCUCCCAGGUCGUGUGUCCGACGCUAGAGAUUCGAUCAGCCGAUUUCUAGCGCCAACAGGAGGUUAUAGUCGAAAUUGUUCGUAUACCUGGCCCAAAUGUUGUCAUGAGGGAGGAAGUGGCGGUAGUGAACCAUAAUGGUACCCAGGAGUCAGAAAUGUUGCAUCACGUGUUAGGUGAAACAGAACGUGAUUUUAACUUGGCUAUUGCCAAUGACGAUUUUCCCAAUAACAUUUUUGAGAGGGAUGAAGCAAAUAUAGAUGUCGAUAAUGUCUCUAUGGGUUCCGAAGAUUGUGAAUUCGAGGAAGAUGGGGUAGUAGGUGUGGAGGUAGAGGAGGAAUCACUAUUUGAGAGUGGUGGGCAUGAAUAUAAGGACGACAGGAUAGAAAAUGAAGAGGAUGGACCGCAAUUUGACACCGCAACCGUGCAUGAUGUAGAAGGCAUUCGUCGUAUGGACGAUUGUUUUUCUUACACCCAGAACAAGUUGCGGUUGUUAAAAGAACGUGAUGUCGAACUGCCAUCCAUUCCCAAUGAUAAGGACAUCAGUAUGGUCCACAAAGCAAUAUGUGAAUCUAGUAUGGUGAAUGCCGAAGGGACGUCCGUUGGUGAGAGUCCAGUGAUUAAGAAGGGGAUGAAGUUCAAUAGUCUUGAGGAGCUGAAGUUUUUCUUGGCUGACUACGCAGUGAGGUUACAUAGACCUUUUAGCGUAGUUCACUCUGACAAGAACUUAAGAUACAAUGUGAUGUGCAAGCAAGGAUGCCAUUGGCGUGUAUGGUCUCGGCUAAUAUCAAGCACCGGACAAUGGAGAAUUUCAAAUGUUGUGUAACCGCAUACUUGUCGGUCGUCACAGCCGAAGCGAGAGCAUGUACAGUGCACAGCAAAGUACCUUGGGUGGCGUAUCCUAGGCAUUAUCCGUAAAGACAGCGAGACAUCGGUGCCAUCCCUCGUGGAGUUCAUCUUCGCCUUUAGUGGGUACCGUGUGAAGUAUUCGAAGGCUUGGCGGGCGAAGCAACACGCCAUUGCCCUGCUUUAGGGCGACUGGAAGGAGUCGUACGGCAUGGUUCCUAGGGUACUCUCAGCUAUAACCUACUACAAUUUCGGGGUUAAAUGGUGCAUCGACUCAUGUGGCAUGAUGCAUCCUGACAAUGGAGUUUUGAAGCAUAUACUGCAAAGGGGAUUUUGGUGCUUCCCUCAAUGUAGUGAGGCAUUUCAACAUUGCCGUCCUGUGAUACUUGUGGACGGUACAUUCUUGACUGGCAAGUAUAAGGGUACGUUAAUGAUGGCAGUUGGUGUAGAUCCAGAACAGCAGCUUGUGCCUCUUGCUUUUGCCUUGGCCGAGAGUGAGAAUAAUGAGAGUUGGUCAUGGUUUAUGAAACUUGUUCGGCGACAUGUUCUUGGACCUUCACGGAUAGUGUGUAUGAUAUCAGAUAGGCAUCAUGGGCUCCUAAAUUGUACGAAGGACCACAUGGAUGGUUUUCCACCGCUUGUGCAUAGGUGGUGCACGAGGCACUUUGCUGCCAACAUGUCGCGUCGGCAGAAGAGCAACCGUGUGAUUGGAAAAUUGAAGAUAUUAUGCAAGGUUCAUACGGAGAGAGAAUUUAGUGAGAAGUUAGAAGAUCUAGUGAAGGACUUGAACGAUGACGCAAAAGAAUGGUUGAAGGGUGAAAUGGAGGACAAGGAUAAAUGGGCGUAGGCUUUCGAUGAGGGAGGGAUGCGUUGGGGUAUUAUGACCACGAACUACUCGGAAUCACUCAACGCAGUUUUCAAAGGCAUCCGAAGUAGGCCCGUCUCUGGAAUUAUUGAAUACUCAUUCGAAAAAUGCAACGCCUACUUUGUGGACCGAUAGCAAAAGGCACAUGCAAUGUUGGAUGAAGGCUAUAGAAUUGGGAAAGUUGCAGAUGAUUAUUUAUCAGAGGCUGAGCUUAGAUCCGUGCACCACUUAGCAGAACCGUACGGGCUAGAAAGGAUGGUGUAUUCUAUAAGAAGUUACGGUACGACUAACAUUGGGGGUGAGAGUCAUGGAGGCCGACACUACAGAGUGGAUCUGAACGAAGUUUCAUGCACCUGCAAUGUUCCACAAUUGUUGCACCUUCCAUGUUCACACUUCAUUACAGCUUGCAAGGCAAGAGGUCUUAACUAUGAAAGCCCCUUGUACAUGUCACCGUUGUACUCUAGGGAGCACACCGUCAAAAUAUGGGAAUCAAGAUUUCAACCUUACCUUGAUCCGUCACAAUGGCCAGCAUAUGAAGGGGUAGGGUACGUGCCUAACCCCAAUUUGAUGAGAAAUAAAGUAGGAAGGAGGAAGAAGAAGCGUUUCACAGGCGACAUGGACGUGUCGGAAGGGAGGUUGUUGACGCCAGAUUUCGUCACUAGUAAAAUCGACGCCAAGAAGAGAAGGAAAUGGAGAAGCACAGUUGGGAAUCGGCCGAAUGGUGCUACAGUACGAGAUCGGCCGAUGACUUCCGUCUCGCCUCGGGUCGAGCGUGCCGGGUUCCCAAUCGGUUGCCUCUUGCCGAUAAGGAAUCGGCCGAUUAGGAGGUUGGGUUAAUUGGGCCUGUAUGGGCUUGGAAAGGAAUAAAAGGAUGAGGGGGAGAUCAGCCCAUGAAACGUAGAGUAACCAACCUAGCACGAAUCGUGCUUGUAAAUAUUCGUUUUCUGUUUGAAUUAGGGAUAGAAUUCUAGUCGAAUAAGAAGUCAUCUAUACGGGGCUAUAAAUAGCUACCUUUGUAAAUCUGUGAUCAUCAACAAAUCAAUACAACAUACUACUUUUUCCUCGUACUUACUUUCAAGCAGACGACUUCGUCAUUACUUUUCUCUUUUUCACGAGUUCGUGCGGGUUGGCAGGGCUGCAUCAGUUUGAUCUCCGUCCGAUUCUGUAAGUUCCGCUUAUCGAGUAAUAUCUAAGCUUUAACUUCGGGCGUAUCGCUGUUGUUUCGUUUAGAUUUAUUCACUAGUUAUCGAUAUUUGCUAGAUUCAUAGGUUUUACCUGUCUUUCUAGUUUUAUCACCAGUUAUCCAGCUAGGAAUCGGUAGUUUCGGCUUUCUUCACGUUCUGCUUUUGAAUUCAUCUAUUGCCGAUUAGAUCUGUUCCUAGUGUUGUUAUCUUAGCUCUGUGUCGAUUACUCUAGUAGUUUUCUGUCUACAAGGCUACAGUGAUCGGCUGCCUUAUAGCCGAUUUCUUUAUUACGGCAAAUCGGCCGAUUCGCUGAUAAGCUCUCUCGUGAUCGGAAACCUAGCCGAUCGCGAUUUCUGGACCUGACACGUAUUCUUCCUUGCCAAUCAACAGGUCAGAUUGGCUGGCACGCCGCGCGAACCGCACCAGGGCAAUCACCCGAACAGGAGUUAAGCAGAUUCUCCCGGGUCCUGUGUCAGACGAUGGGAUUCGGUUGACCGAUUUCUAGCGCUAACACACUUUUGGCACGCCCAGUGGGAUCAAUACAACCGCCAUCAUGUCGAAAGCUGCUGAAGUCUCCGAAGAAAACGUCAUCGAGGUGACGGAAGCAGAUCUGAAGGACGACUAGAAGGAAGAACUGGAUAAGUAUACGGCACAGUUCCGGAAAGCUUGCCUACAGUCUUUCAGUCGCUCCAGAAGCGGGGAGACUAUCAAGAAGACUCCGUUCCCUGCUUCCCGCCAGAUCACGAUUUCUGAGGACUCAGACAAAAUGGCCGAUAUGAUUCAACAGUCCAUUUAUCACGCCUUCGUUGAUCAGUCCCCAGUACUUUCAAAUAUGGUGCACAACGCCGUUGUCAACUCCUUCGCUGGUGGGAUACCUCAAGGAUACAGGGGACCGGCAUAUUUUCAGCCGAUUCCACCAAACCAGAAUUAUUCGAGUUCGGUUUCACAGCCGAUCCAAUUUUCUGUCGGGGGUUCAGGUGCUUCCUCAUCAUCAGCUCCUAUGGGGUAUAACUCCAUCCAACUGUCUUCCGCACCAUUCCCUCCAGUUAGCCCAUCACCCUGGGGGGCACCUUCAGCCACGGCCGGUCAGAAUCAAUCGGCCAGUCAAGGAAGCCCUCCAUUCCAGGCAUCUUUCCAGGCGGCCACUCGGCCGACCGUACCGCCAUACCAGCCUGUCGCUCCGGAGGUCAACAAGACAGCAAAGCUCAUGCUGUAUGAUGAAACGAGUGGUUCAUUCAAACAGCCAACCUUUACCACGCAGCCGGCUUUCACCCAGAUGCCACCUGCUUUCACUCAGCCUCCGUUUAUUCCGCCUCCGGUUUACCAGCACGUGCCAAUACCUCAGCCAACGGUUCACCAGCAACAGCCAGAUUGGUCGUCACGUAUUGCGGAGGUGAUGCAAGAACAAUUCGGCUUAAAGCCGAAAGUACAAACUUACACCUACAGAAUACCAUACCCGUCUACAUAUGACCUAUUGCCGUUCCCCCAUCGGUAUAAAGUUCCUGACUUCACUAAGUUUUCGGGGAUGGAUGACACUUCGACCGUAGAGCACGUGAACAGAUUCAUCAUCCAAUGCGGAGAGGCAGCUACGCAGGAUGCCCUACGGGUACGGUUGUUCUCAUCAUCUUUGUCUGGGUCGGCCUUUCAAUGGUUCACGACAUUGCCGCCAAACUCGAUUAUCACAUGGGCUGAUUUGGAAAGACAGUUCCACAAAUACUUCUACGCCGGGGUGCAUGAGAUGAAACUGUCCGAUUUGACCAGCCUCAGGCAAAGAAGUGACGAGCCGAUAUCCUCGUAUGUACAGAGGUUUCGGGAAAUCAGAAACAAGUGCUAUUCCCUGGCUCUAAACGACGCGCAGUUGGUCGAUAUAGCUUUUCAAGGCCUUCUGCCCCACAUCAAAGAAAAAUACGCCUCACAGGAGUUCGAGAGUUUGAGCCAGAUUGUCCACCGAUUGUCUGGAUAGGAGGUACGUUCCUUCGAUCCACGGAGGAAUUUCCAGAAGAAAGUGGCGUUCCUGGAAGAGUUAGAGGACAAGGAAGACGUUGAAGUCGGACUUGCGGAGUGGAUCAAGGGAAAGAAGCCGAUAUCAUGCCCAUUCGGCAAAAAGGAGCCGGAGGUGUUCGGUUUUGACACGACAAAGGCCGAUAAAAUAUUCGACCUUCUCCUCCAGGAAGGACAGAUUAAACUCUCGCCAUACCAUACAAUACCUUCUGCCGAACAACUAAAAAAGAUGAAAUACUGCAAGUGGCACAAUGUCACAUCCCAUGAUACUAAUGAGUGCAAAAUCUUCAGGCAGCAGAUACAGUCGGCCAUUGAGCAGGGCAGACUUAAAUUUUAAGUGCCGACAAAAUCGGCCAAGCCAAUGAAGAUCGACCAGCACCCCUUCCCCACCAAUAUGGUUGAUACGGGAAAGAAUUCACUCCAAACAAAAGUGCUGACGUCCGAAUCGGCUAAAAAGAGUGGCGCCGUCGACCCCAAAAAUCAAGCUAUGCCUGAAGAUGUAAGGGGAAGCGGCGGAUGGAGGAUGACGAUGGCGAAUCAGAAGAGCCACGCAUUACUUCCCAGUUCCUGCUCCAGAAGUACCAACGUCAGCAUGAACGCUCAAGGUCCCGGGAAGAAGCAAUGCGACGGCACGAAGAUCACUGGAGGUGCCCGUUCUUCAUCCACUGUUGGGAAAACAACCUCAGGCUACCUUCGGCCGAUAAUUGCCCAGAAUGCAAUAGUCCAUAUCGUGGCAAUCGACCGUUGAACAGGUCUCGCUCCAGAGACGGAAGGCCAGAGCCGAUCAGCAGGAAUUGGCGCAACCAAGAUGACCAGCGCCCUCCCGUGCAUGAUCGGCUGGGGGGCAGAAGUGACCGAUAUCAUCGGUCGGAAGAUAGACGCCAUGACAGGCAGGGGGGCAUGACUGAUCGGCAUGACCGGUCAGAAAACAAAGCCAACGUUCACAGCUGGCUCGAAGAGAUGGCCGAUGCUCGGGUGACGGACGAAAACCCGUUAGGACGCGAACCGGAGUGGGAACGCGCCAGGACAGGAGCAAGACCAAUAAACCCCAGGUGGUGUCCCGAUGGAUUGACCAAGUCUCAGAAAUGAAGAAUCCAACGUCUCCGCCAAUUGGAACAGCAAGAAGAGGAACAACAGAGCACGACGGACAAGAAGGAAGGAAGGCCUCGGGUGUGGCGUCCCAAAAGAAACAAUAAAGGAGACGACGAAUCGGCGGGUGACGAAUCGGCAGCCGAGAUCGGCAUGGUUUUCAUACUGCCGAUGGAAUUCAUGACUCCCGCCGAUCAACAGGAUAUAUCGGCGAUAGAAGACCAGACGGCACAGUUGGUUUUGGAGCCAAUGAUGGCCACAUUCGAGAAGCCCGAAGAUAGCGAACGACAACACAUGAAGGCGCUGUUCCUUAAAGGGCAUGUUGACGGCCGCCCCCUCACUAGAAUGAUGGUAGACGGAGGAGCUGCUGUCAACAUCAUGCCAUACGCCAUGCUCCGGAAGCUUGGAAAAAGCGACGACGACUUGACUAAGACGGACUUCGAAGGCAACGUGUCAAGCGCUCGCGGCGCUCUCUGCGUCGACCUCACCAUCGGCAGUAAGACCCUCCCUACCACCUUCUUUAUUAUUAAUGGCAAGGGAUCCUACAAUAUGCUGCUCGGCCGGGACUGGAUACACGCAAAUUGCUGCAUCCCGUCAACAAUGCAUCAAUAUCUCGUACAAUGGGUCGGCGAUAACAUCGAGGUGGUCAACGCCGAUUCCGCAUACAGCAUCGCGGCAGCCGACACACAACAGUGGAGCUGCGAAACCGUCAGGUGCAUAUCCGGCAGAGUAUGGGAGACCGAUUUCCUGAAGGUCACCGAUUUUGGCCUACAGCCGAUCCGAGCAGUCGGCUCCGAAGACUCAGAAUAGAUGGAUCAGUUCGCCCGAGAAUAUGGGAAGCUAGGGCACGGGUUCACGUCGGCCGAUUCAUUAGAGAUGAUAGACUUAGGCGAUGGUACCAAACCAAGGCCGACUUAUAUUAGUGCAAAUUUAGACCCAGAAUACAAGUGUAAAUUGACAAAUUUGUUAAAAGAAUUUAAGGAUUGUUUUGCUUGGGAGUAUCAUGAGAUGCCCGGUUUAGAUCGGUCUAUUGUUGAACAUCGGCUACCCAUAAAACCAGGGUAUCGGCCGUACCAACAGCCUGCACGGCGCUGCAAUCCUAAGAUUCUACCAGACAUAAAAGUUGAAAUAACUCGGCUAAUCGAAGCAAAAUUUAUUCGGCAAUGCCGUUAUGCCGAGUGGAUCUCCAACAUUGUACCAGUGUACAAGAAGAAUGGAAAGCUACGCAUUUGCGUUGAUUUCAGGAAUCUUAAUCAGGCCACACUGAUGGAUGGUUACCCCAUGCCGACGGCCGAUGUGUUGAUCGACGCUGCCGCAGGGCACAAGAUUAUUAGCUUCAUGGACGGAAACGCUAGGUACAAUCAAAUACUUAUGGCCGAAGAGGACAUACCCAAAACGGCCUUCAGAUGCCCAGGUCACCUUGGCUUGUUCGAGUGGGUGGUGAUGACUUUCGGCUUGAAGAACGCUGGCGCUACAUAUCAGAGGGCCAUGAAUUACAUAUUUCACAAACUCAUUGGCAUUCUGGUAGAGAUCUACAUCGAUGACGUCGUAGUCAAGUCCAAAGGUCAUGAAGAGCAUCUGGCCGAUUUACGAAGAGUGCUAGAGUGCACCAAGAAACACGGUCUUAAGAUGAAUCCCAAUAAAUGUGCUUUCGGCGUAUCCGCCGGACAGUUCUUAGGAUUCAUGGUGCAUGAACGAGGGAUAGAGAUCAAUCGGAAGACCAUAGCGGCCAUCAACAAAGUCGUGGCCCCGCAGAAUAAAACCGAACUGCAGUCUUUAAUCGGCAAGGUGAAUUUCAUCAGAAGAUUCAUAUCUAAUCUAUCUAGGCGGAUUCAGGCGUUCACGCCACUGUUGAAGUUAAAGCCUGACCAGGAAUUUAUAUGGGGGGAAGAGCAGCGCAAAGCAUUGGAAGAUAUCAAGCGAUACUUGGUCUCGCCACCGGUAUUGGUUCCUCCUCAGACUGGUAAACCGUUUAAGAUAUACUUAUCUGCCGAUGAAAAGGCUAUUGGGUCGGCUCUGGUCCAGGAGUUCGAAGGCAAGGAACGAGUAAUUUAUUAUGUCAGUAGAAGACUUCUGGACGCUGAAACAAGAUACCCUCCGGUGGAGCGUUUGUGCCUAUGUCUUUACUUCUCAUGCACCAAACUCAGGCACUAUCUACUGUCGGCAGAAUGCGUGGUCGUAUGCAAAGACGACGUAGUAAAAUACAUGCUAUCGCUGCCGAUCUUGAAAGGACGAAUCGGCAAAUGGAUCUUAGCGUUGUCAGAAUUCGACCUGCGGUAUGAAUCGGCGAAAGCCGUCAAGGGUCAGGUCAUGGCCGAUUUCGUCGCCCAACACUGCGGACUGGAGAUUGCCCUCGUAGAGCCGGCACCUUGGACAUUAUAUUUCGAUGGGUCAUCAUGUGGAGUCGGAUCAGGAAUCGGCAUCGUCCUCAUAUCGCCUCGGGGGGCAAGCUAUGAUUUUCUCUGCCGAUAGAAGCCGCCGCUACUAACAAUCAAGCGGAGUACCGAGCUGUGUUGAAGGGCCUACAACUAUUAAGGGAAGUCAAGGCCGAUUCUGUUGAAAUCUUCGGAGAUUCCAUGCUUAUUGUGGAUCAACUGACCGGAAGGUCCGAAUGCAAGGACGACGUAUUAAGAAUUUAUUACGAAGAUUGCUUACAGCUCUUAAAAGAAUUUAGAUCGGUAGUAAUCGAACACAUCCCAAGGGACCACAACGAGGGUGCCAACGAGCUCGCCCAGCACGCAUCUGGAUAUCGGCCAAUUCUAGGCGCUAUGGCUCUAGAACUCGCGACCGAUGACUGACGAAAAGAAAUUGCCGACUACCUGAAAGAUCUGUCUAAAAAGGUGGAACGACGAGUACGUUUUCAUGCUACUAAAUACGUACUGCUCGAAGACGACCUAUUCUACCGAAUGAUCGACGGUGUUCUACUAAAAUGCUUUGGGACAGAGGAGGCCAAGACCCUAAUGGGAGAAAUCCAUGAAGGGGUAUGUGGAGCACACCAAUCGGCCCAUAAGAUGAAGUGGAUGAUCAGGAAUAAUGGGUACUACUGGCCAACGAUCCUCGAAGACUGUUUCAAAUAUUAUAAGGGGUGUCAGGAUUGUCAAAAGUUCAGAAAUGUCCAACGUGCACCUGCAUCGGCCAUGAAUCCCAUUAUCAAGCCAUGGUCGUUCAGGGGAUAGGGAAUAGACCUUAUCGGCCAAAUUUACCCUCUAUCAAGUAAAGGGCAUAAGUUUAUUCUGGUGGCUACUGAUUACUUUACCAAAUGGGUGGAGGCAAUUCUGUUAAGAGCUGUGACAUCGGCUAUCAUGGCCGACUUCGUAAGAGAUCACAUUGUCUAUCGAUUCGGCAUUCCUCAGACUAUAACGAUCGAUCAAGGAACAAUGUUCACAUCGGGGGAAUUCGAGGAAUUUACAACCGAUAUGGGGAUCAAAUUGUUGAAUUCUUCUCCGUAUUACGCCCAAGCCAAUGGUCAGGCCGAAUCCUCCAACAAAGGGAUAAUCAAGUUGAUCAAAAGGAAAAUCGAGGAACAGCCAAAGAAGUGGCAUCUAUGUUUGACUGAGGCCCUAUGGGCGUACAGAAUGGCUUGUCAUGGGGCUACCAAGUUAUCUCCCUAUCAGUUGGUGUACGGUCACGAUGCAGUACUACCAUGGGAAUCGAGGGCGGGAUCGAGGCGUAUUUCGCUCCAGGACCAGUUAACGGCCGAUGACUACUCAUCACUCAUGAAAAGGGAGCUUGAUGAUUUGGCUGGCCAACGAUUGAGUGCUCUGAUAAGCAUUGAAGAAAACAAAAAGAAAGUCGCCAGGUGGUACGAUAAGAAGGUCAAAGUCAAACAAUUCUCCCCUGGGGACUUAGUAUGGAAGUUAGUACUGUCGAUUGGGUCGAAAGAUCCUAAAUUCGGAAAAUGGUCCCCUACAUGGGAAGGGCCGUAUAAAAUCGGCAGAUGUGCUCCAGGGAAUGCUUACAUUUUGGAAAUAAUAGAGGGGGAAGAAUUUACUAGAGCUCUGAACGGAAGGUACUUAAAAAGAUACUAUCCCAGUAUAUGGGUCGGAGCAUAAGGGAUUAACCGUAAUACGAUCACACACAGCCGAUACAAAACGGUUCAAACACAUAGUCGUCCAAAUCGGCCGAUGUAUUCAUUCGGUACGGGCGAUGGGUUACACGGCCGACAAAACACAAGUCGCCCUUAGAACAAAAAACACAAAUAACUAAUUAUUCUUCUUCUUGCGCUCCCCCUCAGUCCGAUCCAACUCAUUCAUGAGACAGAGGUAUUCUUCUUCUAUUUCUUUCAUUGAAGCCUCCGCUUCAACUUGGCGAGGGAGAGGAUGGCUCCGGUCCAUGGCCGGGCGCGAAGUUCCUGCCGCCGCGUCUUCAAGAACGACUCGCGGAGGAAGCAGAUGGCUCCUAUCGGUUGGAGAUCGCCGGCUACCAUUGCUCUCCACAAAAUCCAAGCCCACACGAGCCUCCGCGGUGACGUGGUCUUGAAGUUCGUCACGAUGAGCCCUGAUCAGCUCCUGAUCCUCUGACGACAAUGGGUCCUCAGAGUGUAUGAGCUCAAUGGCGCGUACGAGCUCAGGGCUAAGGCGUUGAGGCUGAAACAAAGAAAGAUUAAAAAGGGGGCAUCCUCUUCCUAAGAUCUAAAAGGAGAAAGGGGAGUCGAGGCCAAGGUUUCACCUGGUUGACGGAGGAGGAGGAGGCCGACGAAGACAUGACGGAAGGCCGCACCGACGAGAGGAGUAAAGAGAAUAAAACCGAAAGCCAAACUGGUACCCUCGGAAGGAAGUGCCUAGGCCGGCACUUAUAAGAAAAAGAGGCGUGGAAAUUUGGUAAUGAUACGUCCCAUCGGAAAUAAGAAAGGCAAUAAAUAGAAAGGGCGCCGCGAAGGGUGGUCAAAGCGGAUAGUAAAUGUUCGUACAAAAUAGCCAGUGUUUUACAGACUACCCAGAAGGGUAUCGCUAGCCGCGAUUGCCUGACGCCGGAUCUGAUCGGCAGAGUCCAGGACCCGUUGGUCUUCAUCCGCCGAUCCGGGGACUUCUGAUGCGCUGCGAUGGAGUUUUAGGGCCUCGUGGGCCAAGUGCUGCCUCUCCCGUUUCAAAUCGGCAAUGACAGAAGGGAGUUCUUGGAGCCUCUUCUCUUCGGCACUGAUUGCUUUGGUCACUUGCUCUAUCUCCUUGGCGAGCUCCGCCCUCCGACGCUUGAGGCGGUCUAUCUCACCUAUGAUCCCCGGGCGGGAAUUCUCCAGAAAAUGGAUACGUCGGUGUGCCUCUUGAGCUUGGCGCUUGAACGCGUCCUCCUCUUCACGAGUCUUGGCCAGCUUGGCGCGAUCGGCCAUGUGACGAAGGGCUCUGAAGACCGGGAUCCUCAUAGACUCGAUGAAUGCCGCCGGUGCCAAGGCUUCCUCCGCCUCUUCUGGUACUCGUCCGCUGACGUCACCGAAGAGCUGCCGAAUCGGUGAAGCAUCUUCUACUAAUCGGCCGAUGUCCCCUUGAAGGAGGGAUCGGAUACUAGCGAGUUUGGCUCGGACGUCAUCAGGAAUGGAACUCAAGGCGACUUGGCGGGAAGCGACUUCUUCAUUAUCGGAGAGGGCAACCGCAAAAGAGAAGAGGCUGUUGUCGGGGGUGUCUUGUUCCUGGAGAUAAUAAAGAGGGAGAAAUAAACCGGCUGAAGGUGGAAGCAAAUCGGCUAAAUAAAGCCGGAAUAUAACUUACCACUUUGAAGCGAAUUUCUUCAUGUUGCAUUUGGGAAGCCGUCAUGCCUUGCUCAGGGGCUUGUGCCAUGGGUUCGUCAGAAGAGGAAGACUCCACAACGAUCGGCGCGGUGCUUGGACCAGCUCCCUGAGAAAAGACCGGUGGUUGAGGAGCGCUUGGUGUACCGAUGACCUGUGUCAGAGAAUUGAAUAAGUACAUUAUGCAAAUACCAGGGAAAAUCGGUGAAAUAGAGCUAUACCUCAACGGAUAGAAGUGGGGGCGCGUCGACGGCCGAUUGGGCUGCUGCCGAUUGUCGGAUAUCCAUGGGAGUGCUCUGUGCAGUCUAAAGAUAAGAAGGGUUAAUAUCAGAACAACAAUCGGGAGGAGUAAAACUUAGGUUUACCUGAACGGCCUCCAACAACAAUGACGCGGCGGCUGCUCCAGCUUGUGCCAUGACUUGGGUAUCAUCAUCUUUGGUGGCCUGAGGGGGUGGCGCGGCCGGAGUCUCUGCCGAUACGAGCGUAGGAGGAUCCGCCGAUUCUAUACGAGCUCGGACUCGACGACUGGUUUUUUUGGUGAUCCUCUUCUGAACUUGUUUCGAUCGGCCAGCAAUCACGUCCACAGACGGAGCAUCAUAGCCAAUAAGAGGAUAAGAGGUGUAUGGAUGAUGACUCUCUAUUAGCCGACCACUCCGGCUGUGUGUUGGAGGUGUACGGUUCUCGACCUGAAGAAAUAAUAAAACUAUUAGUAUUCAAUCACGUUAAGAGGAGUAAGAAUCGGCUAAGGAAAAUACCUCGGCAUUCGGGUCAAUGUUGGCUGGAUCCAGGAGGUUGUAGUAUGCCGAUGCCGAAUUGCAGAAGAGAAAUUGCUUCCAAUCGGCCCACCAGAGUUUGAACGGCUGGACAGCAAAGGGAGCUACUAUCCAGUUGUUCAGGUCAAUGGUGUUGGAGUCCGGAAUCCGGUCGCGUACCCGACUGUAAUCCAGACCGGAUGUGAGCUCAUCUUUGAACUUGACUCGGCCAGCAAAAUACACUUGAAUCGGCAGCUGACCCAUGCCGAACUGACGUGCUGCAACGGAAGGGUUGUAAAACUCAUACGUGGGGGCAUCUUUCCCCGAAAAGAAGUUGGCUGGCAAGAUUCCUGGCUUGAUUAACUCAUCAUUGAGCUCUUCGUCAAAUCGGCCAGUGAUCGAAUCGAAGCAGGUGGGGAGUUCAAAGAUUGGGUUAUCCCGCCGAUAAGGAAACCAAACGGUUGCAUCUUCAUUAAAGCCAUUAUAGAAGCAUCGGAAGUACUCGGCUACCUUUGUAGCAGAAUAUGUGCAACCUGGAAAGGCCGAUACUGCUUCACCAAAAGACAUGCAUCGGCGACGUUCAGUAGGAUCUUCUGCCGAUUCAAUGUUGGGAAACAUCAUACGGUCCACCCUAUGCUGAGUGAUCUCGCUCAUGUAGAGGUUCAACCAUAGGUUGAUAAACCACCAGGGUCCGCCUGGAUUUCCGAUCGGCUCUCCCUUGGAUAGUCUGAUGCCGAUUUGAUGGAGCAUGUGGUACAUCGCCCCUAGCAAGUGUUUCCCAAGGGGGACACGGUUUCCUCUGGACAGUGCUUCGGCUAAAGCCUGGGUGUUGGUUGAUGGGCCGGCGGCUCUUCCACAAAAGAAGUGUUUUUCUAACCACAUCAUUAAGAAGGCCGUAUGCUCCCUAUUCUCAACAGACCCGGUUCUUUUAUUACUUCUGAUGAAACCCUUCCACCCGCCGAUUCCCCUUGUGUCCAGCCGAUGUGACGUUGUGGCUAAAAGGUGGAAAGGUGUGUCCGGGGAAGAAAUGUCAAGGCCGGUCAACAGAACCACAUCGGCUAGUGUUGGGGUCAUAGGUCCGUGCCCAAAUAAGAAAGCAUUGAGUGCAUCAGACCAAAAAUAAGAAGCCUCUAUUACCAACGGCUCAUUUUCUCCAUGUGGGACAAGGAUAGGUUGAUGCACUGGCCGAUUUUGAGCUCCUCCCACGAGACGCUCUUCGACGCGGCUACCCGUUGGUACCACUCCCUCCAACCUGGGGUUUCAUUCGGCCAGGACCUAAAAGUGCCCAACCAUUGAUCUAAGUCCAUGUCGGACAGUUUGAAGGGUAUCCUGUGGGUUUCUAAAUUGAUGAACUCUAUCGGAUCUGGGUUCCCCAUGGGUCCGAGGCAAAUAAGACCGGGAUUUCCCGUAAUAUGAAUGGUAAUGCGAUGCCUGACCGCCUAAAAAAGGAAAGGGGGGUGUAAAAAGGUAAGAAACAGAUCUAGAGUAAAUGCAUUGCCAAUGGGGGAAGGAUUCGGUAAAAACCUCUGGGAUGAAGUUCCGUGUGGUCGGCGUGGUCGCCGGUGCAGAUGCGGACGAUGAGGCCGUGAUGGGGAUCGCCAUUGGGAUCUCCGAUGAAGCUCCUUCUUCUGUUGAUGGAGCAACUGCCGUUGCCACUACCGCCGGAGGUGCCACUUCCGGAACAUCGUGUGCUGGAGAGCUGCUGGAAGGAGCCGCCAUUGGAGAGGAAGAGAAGAAGCAACGGGCGGUUGGCGCUAGGAAGCUCUGACGGCAAGAGAAAAGGUGCUAAAGGAAGAAGAAGGCGCGCGCUGAGAAAGGAAGACGUGAACUUGAAGAUGAAGUGCGGGGGUGAACCGCUAUUUAAAGGGCGCCUGAAGAAGGGUAAAAAUGGGAUUUUCACCGCGCCGGCGUUUCGAGUUUUUCGGGAGUAGUGGUUGUCGUGGGCGCCCGUUUCGAAAAGAUUGCAAUCAUCAGCUGGAAGACCGCGAAACAGAAGGAUAUUUUCAUUGCGGCUGUUUCGGAGGGGAGGUUAUAAAGAAUUUUGAAGUAAAAGAUUAUGUUUUACUCCGAAACUGGGGGGCAUGUGUUGACGCCAGAUUUCGUCACUAGUAAAAUCGGCGCCAAGAAAAGAAGGAAACGGAGAAGCACAGUUGGGAAUCGGCCGAAUGGUGCUACAGUACGAGAUCGGCCGAUGACUUCCGUCUCGCCUCGGGUCGAGCGUGCCGGGUUCCCAAUCGGUUGCCUCUUGCCGAUAAGGAAUCGGCCGAUUAGGAGGUUGGGUUAAUUGGGCCUGUAUGGGCUUGGAAAGGAAUAAAAGGAUGAGGGGGAGAUCAGCCCAUGAAGCGUAGAGUAACCAACCUAGCACGAAUCGUGCUUGUAAAUAUUCAUUUUCUGUUUGAAUUAGGGAUAGAAUUCUAGUCGGAUAAGAAGUCAUCUAUAAGGGGCUAUAAAUAGCUACCUUUGUAAAUCUGUGAUCAUCAACAAAUCAAUACAACAUACUACUUUUUCCUCGUACUUACUUUCAAGCAGACGACUUCGUCAUUACUUUUCUCUUUUUCACGAGUUCGUGCGGGUUGGCAGGGCUGCAUCAGUUUGAUCUCCGGCCGAUUCUGUAAGUUCCGCUUAUCGAGUAAUAUCUAAACUUUAACUUCGGGCGUAUCGCUGUUGUUUCAUUUAGAUUUAUUCACUAGUUAUCGAUAUUUGCUAGAUUCAUAGGUUUUACCUGUCUUUCUAGUUUUAUCACCAGUUAUCCAGCUAGGAAUCGGUAGUUUCGGCUUUCUUCACGUUCUGCUUUUGAAUUCAUCUAUUGCCGAUUAGAUCUGUUCCUAGUGUUGUUAUCUUAGCUCUGUGUCGAUUACUCUAGUAGUUUUCUGUCUACAAGGCUACAGUCAUCGGCUGCCUUAUAGCCGAUUUCUUUAUUACGGCAAAUCGGCCGAUUCGCUGAUAAGCUCUCUCGAGAUCGGAAACCUAGCCGAUCGCGAUUUCUGGACCUGACACGUAUUCUUCCUUGCCAAUCAACAGGUCAGAUUGGCUGGCACGCCGCGCGAACCGCACCAGGGCAAUCACCCGAACAGGAGUUAAGCAGAUUCUCCCGGGUCGUGUGUCAGACGCUGGGAUUCGGUUAACCGAUUUCUAGCGCUAACAGAGGUUUUCUGCAGAUUAUGGCACUGGUGAUUUUGAUGUGGACAAGUCGGAAAAUCGUUGCUCGAAGUGCCCCAAGAUCAUUAGGAAUUACACGUGCCGCAAUAGAAAAUCUAAAGGCACGAAAUCUAGGGGGAACAGUAAUAGGCUGCGUUCUUUGAACAAUAGGGUAUGCGCGUUGCUCGUAUUUUGCAUGGUUAUCAUUUUAUCUUUUUUUUUAUAGUAGUAAAUUAUCAUAGUUACCGUACUUAUCAUAUAAUGAAGCAUUUUACUAAUGAUCUUGUUUGUUGUUUCUUUAGGAUGGCAGCCCCGGCGUACCCUCUUCUUGAGUCGGCUUACGACUUGCAGCACCGUGCCCACCACCUCGCGGAUCUAAAUGAGGUACUACAUCAGUUAUUAACAAUGGUUGCUAAUUUAUGCUGAUGAAUGCAUACCUUAGGAUGAUAACUGCAAGAUUUUCGUAUGAAAUGUUCUUACAAAUUGAGGAUGUGCCUGUCGUUACUAUUUGCUUGUGUACAAUGUAAACAAUUUCAUACUGAAAUGUCAUUUAUAUCAUAUUUGUGUUACUUACCACUUUAGUAGCCCUUGAUUCUCAAAUGCAUUGACUUCUCAUUUUUGUAAUAAUCUUAUAAUGUUUUGCAGGAUUUGAAACCACUCAGGGCUAAAGUGCACUCACCACUUAGGUAGGAUGAGCGGUACGUGGAGUACUUGCAGAGAGCUGGUUUUUGGGAUCUUGCUGUUCAGGUUGCAACACCGUCCACUGCUGCAGGUCCUAGCAGGAGAUCACGAGGCAAGGAACCCCCAUCCCCUCAGGCAAGCGAGGACUCUAAAGGUGAGCAGUCUGAGGAUGACGACCCUACAUAUGGUGAGGAACUGGAGAUUUCCGGCAUGAUCGAUGCUCCACCUAUGACUCAGACACAUCGUGAGUCCAGCUAGGUACAUUCACAAGUUUCCCCAAAUUCAAUUCUAGAUUGUUAAUGUUCACUCCCGAAGUGUCAUACAAAUAUCCAGAUCUAUAUAAAAUGGUCAUCAAACAUAUGAUGUAUGGUCCUUGCGGCAUAUUAAACAUAAAUUGCCCUGCACAAAGAAUCGAGCAUCUUGCAAAAACAAUUAUCCAAGACCAUUUAAUGAAACUACAAUUCAAGGCAAGGACUCCUACCCAUUGUAUAGAAGACGAAAUGACGG
This 46213-nucleotide long non-coding RNA is filed under the name Setaria italica (foxtail millet). RNAcentral's name for it is "long non-coding RNA (SITA_LNC001878)". The record is from RNAcentral. Lineage: Eukaryota; Viridiplantae; Streptophyta; Magnoliopsida; Poales; Poaceae.